CGUGAGAAUCUUGAAUCACUUUUAGCAUCUGUCAUGUACCAGAAGCCCUAGUGAACAUAAUUCUGGUUAUUUCAUAAACUCUUGAUUUACAAACACCGAAAGUAAAGUGAAAAACAACAACUUGUUAAACCUAAACCCCCAUUUUAGGAAACAUUAAACUAUCAGUUGAUUAAAUCGCAAACAACUUGAGUUCACACCAUAUUCCCUGUGGGAUUCAACCCCAACCUAGUUUGGUUUUAUAGUGAAAAUGAUCUCUUACACCCAUUCAAUAUUAUAAUUUGAGCGUUAUCAAAAAUGGAGCCGUUGCUGGGGACUACGUUUGUAAGCUGAAGCUUGUAUGCGCUAAUUGACUGUUAGUUAAGUUUCUUAAAUUUAUGUUUAUUUGUUGGUUUUGUUUAUUUGCAGGAUUUAUACUGUAUGCCAAGCACCAAAAGUUCUGGAGAAACAUUGUUACCACUAAAUCUGGAACCACAAGGAAUAGGAAGAAUGGCACAACAGCAAGAGGCUGAUAGACUGGCAGCCUUAGCUAGAGCUCAGGUGAAUGUGUAAAAUUUCGGGCAACGUGCACGACAUCCAAACCCUAAGGACAAAGAUUUGGGGGACGAGGAGUUAUUGAACCCUGGUAACCCAAGGCAUGCAGAGCAGAUAGUUGUACAAGUGCCACAUAAUGUUAACUGGAACCGUCCGUUCCAAAGAAGAUAAGAGUACCAGCCGUUCCAGUAUGAUCUGAAUAAUGAUGAUGAUGGCAUGGACGGGGCAGGUGCAGCGGGUGCAAUUAUUCCUCCACCCUUGGCACCUGGAGCCAAGUUCAACAUUAUGAGUACUAUGAUCCAACACAUCAAUCUGAAGGGGUUGUUUGGUGGCCUUCCUGGGGAUGAUUCGAACCUGCAUCUGGUGAAUUUUAUCACCAUUUGCAAAUCUUUUAAUACCCCAAGAGUGGGCUAGAACACUAUCCGGUUGAGGUUAUUCCCGUUGUCUCUGUCUUGGGAGGCAACAUUGUGGCUGAAUGAGCUUACGCCUGAUUGCAUCACCCACUGGAGGCAAUUAAAAGAAGCGUUCCUAAAAUGGUUUUUUCCACCCUCCAGGAGGGUACAGUUGAGGGAUGAAAUCAGUAAUUUUAGACAGCUUCCUACUGAAGCUUUGCAUGAGACUUGGGAGUUAUUCAAGAAAAAGCUAACACAGUGUCCGAACCAUAAUAUGACGGACCUACACUUGAUGAAGAUUUUAUACAGGGCGCUCAACUCUGUUAUAAAGCUGAUUGUAGAUAAUGUUGCUAGUGGUUCAUUUGUUGAUCUGUCUUUUCAAGAUGCCUCAGAUAUUCUAAAUAGGAUGACCAAACAGAGUCGGGCUUGGCAUACCAGGGAGUCUGUAGUAGCAAGCCCACUAUUUCUAUUGGUAUGUAUGCUAAACAAUGCGGGAGAGAUGAGGAACAGGAUUAAGACAUGGCCCAUCUAAAGACUCAAAUGGACUAUCUCACCAAGCACUUAUUGUCAGGGAAGACUGAGAAAGUGAAAGCUUUAAUGUCUCAAGACCGAGUGGAUGUGGAGCCUGAAGAAGAGGCAAAUUAUGUUAAUAAUUAGAGGGGUUUCUGAGGUAAUAGCCAAGGGAAUCAAGGUCGGAACGUAUAUGAAAAGCCUGGUUUCAAAGACAAGGAGCAAGGAAAUUGGAGAAGCAAUAAUGACAGGAGUGGUUUAUAUGUUCCUCCUAGAAAUUGGAAAGUUGCUGCAUCUAGCUCUGGAAAAAUGUCCAUGGAGGACAUGAUGGAGAAAUUAUUAAAGGGCAUUGAGGCUCCCAACUCUGGUGUAACCACCAUGAAGACCGAUCUGACAUCCAUCAGUCAGUUGGUGCACUCAUACUCUACUUUCAUCAAAUAGUUGGAGCAGCAGAUGAGCCAACUUUUCGCUGCAUUCAACCAGAGAAAGAGCAGAAUGUUACCAAGAAAUACGGUUCAGAAUCCGCGGAAUGAUGGCUCAUGUAUGGCGAUUACCACUAAGGGUGGUAAGAUAUUACCUGGCCCUUCUGUGGGCAAAUCUGUAGAUGGUGAGGUAGUUGUUGAUGAAUCUGAAGAAAGCAAUCUAGUGGAGUCUGAGAAGCUGGAUAGUUCUAUUAAUGCUUCGAAGAAGGAUAGAGAGAAAGAAGAGGAAGUGGUGUUGAAACUAUCUCAAGACCACCACCUCUCUUUCCUCAACGAUUAAAAAAAAGGCCGAUGAUGCAAAAUACAGUAAAUUUAUAGCAAUGCUCAAGCAAUUAACAAUAAAUGUGCCUUUGGUUGAGGCACUUGAGCAAAUGCCAGGAUACGCGAAAUUCAUGAAGGACCUUGUGACUAAGAAAAGAGCUGUGAGCUAGGAAUUGGAGGAAAAUCUCUACUAUUCUAGCGUUAUUUCUAUAAGGACCUUGGUGCAGAAGAAGUCAGACCCAGGCGCAUUCACUAUUCCCUGUACAAUUGGGACUAUGGAAUUUUCCAAGGCAUUAUGUGAUCUGGGAGAAAACGUUAAUUUGAUGCCACUAAUUGUUUAUAGAAAGUUGGGUCUGGGAAAUCCCACACCCACCAACAUGUGACUCGUGAUGGCGGAUAGGUCAGUAAAGCGACCUAUUGGCAUUUUGUAUGAUGUGUUGGUGAAGGUGUCCAACUUUAUAUUCUCUGCAGACUUCGUCAUUCUAGAUUGCGAGGUGGACUUUGAGGUGCCCGUAAUUUUGGGUCGACCUUUCCUUGCAACCGAAAGUAUGUUAAUUGAUUUGAGAGCAAAUGAGCUCUUAUUCAGGAUGAAUGCUCUAGUGGUCUAGUUUGAUGUGGGGAAGUCAAUAAAGCAACAUGAAGAAAUGAGUGCGUUCUCAGUAGCUAAUAUGUAUUAUAAGAAUGAACAGGAAGUGUCCAUAGCCGAGCAACUUGUUAUCGAACCUUUGGUCGCAAUUAUGAUGAAUUAUGAUAGUGAAGGCAUCAGGGAGUAUGAAGAGACCGUUUUUUCUUUGACAAAAAUGGGUUCAUAUCAUUAUGCUCCUAAAAAACUAGACGUUGAUGUUGCUAAUCGACCAACACCACCAGCCAAGUCAUCUAUUGAGGAGCCUCCACUGUUGGAAUUGAAAAAACUGCCUGGACACUUACGGUACGUGUUUUUAGAAAAUGAAAACACACUACCUAUUAUUAUUGCGGCUGAUUUGGAUGAGCAAUAGGUAAACACAAUUAUUUCAGUACUUCAGAGGCACAAUAGGGCUAUAGGUUGGACCAUCGCAGACAUUAUUGGCAUUCCCCGAGGCAUCUGCACGCAUAAAAUUCAACAUGAGGAAAAUUAUAUUCCAACCAUAGAGCAUCAGCGUCGUCUUAAACCACCAAUGUAGGAGGUAGUUAAGAAAGAGAUUAUUAAGUGGUUGGAUACAGGAGUGGUUUACCCUAUUUCUGACAGAAGCGGGUGAGCCCAGUUCAAUACGUGCCCAAAAAAGGACAUGAUGGUGGUUGCUAAUGAAAAAGAAUGAGUUGAUUCCACUCAGGACUGUAACUGGGUGCAGAGUUUGUAUGGACUACCGCAAGCUAAAUUCUUGGACUUUGAAAAAACACUUCCCGAUGCUCUUUAUGGAUCAAAUGCUUGAUCGAUUGGCUGGAAGGGGGUGGUAUUGUUUCUUGGAUGGUUAUUCUAGAUACAACCAAAUCUGCAUUGCUCCUAAAGAUCAGGAUAAGACGACAUUCAUAUGCCCAUAUGGCACCUUUGCAUUUAAGAGGAUGCCAUUUGAGCUAUGCAACACGUCCACCACUUUUCAACGGUGUAUGAUAUCUAUCUUUUCAAACAUGGUGGAGGACAACAUAGAGGUAUUCAUGGAUGAUUUCUCUGUGGUGGGUGAUUCAUUUGAGAUGUGUUUGGAAAAUUUGAAUCUAGCCUUGCAGAGAUGCGUUGAAUUUAAUUUGGUGCUUAACUGGAAAAAAUGUCAUUUCAUGGUAAAGGAGGGGAUCGUUCUCGGCUCUAAAAUUUCUGAAAAGGGGAUAGAAGUUGAUCGAGCAAAAGUGGAAGUUAUUGAGAAACUACCACCUCCCAUUUCAGUUAAGGGAGUGCGUAGUUUUCUUGGACAUGCUGGCUUUUAUUGGAGAUUUAUAAAAGACUUCUUGGAGGUUACAAAUCCACUUUCCAAACUUUUGGAGAAAGAAGUGAAUUUUUCCUUCGAUGAUGAGUGCUUGAAGGCAUUUGAAUGCCUUAAAAAGAAGCUGGUUGAGGCCCCUAUUGUUGUUGCACCUAACUGGUCAAAACCAUUUGAGAUAAUGUGUGAUGCCAGUGGUGUUUCCCUUGGAGCUGUAUUGGGACAAAAGAAGAACAAACUAUUUCUUCUGAUAUAUUACGCCAACAAAGCACUGAAUGGAGCAUAAAAGAAUUAAACCGUCACUGAACAGGAACUUCUGGAUUUAGUGUAUGCUUUUGAGAAGUUCAGAGCUUAUCUUCUUAGGACCAAAGUGGUGGUCCACACCGACCAUGCAGCCUUGAGGUAUCUGAUGUCUAAGAAGGAUGCAAAACCAAGGCUGAUUAGAUGGGUAUUACUGCUGUAAGAAUUUGACUUUGAGGUCAAAGAUAGGAAAAGUUGUGAAAACUUGGUUGCAGAUCAUCUGUCUAGAAUGGAAGGUGAACAAGAAAUUAGUGAUGAAACAAAGAUAAAUGAUGCAUUCCUUGAUGAGGACAUCCUGGCUGCCGCUGUGGAAAAACUGCCUUGGUAUGAGGAUUAUGCAAAUUAUGUCGUGAGUGAAGUCAUCCCAAAAAACCUUUCUUGACAUCAAAGUAAGAAAUUCUUGCAUGGUAUGACUCAUUACUUCUGGGAUGAACCGUAUCUUUUUUGGAAAUAUGCGAACAAUAUUAUAAGGAGAUGCAUACCGAAAGUGGAUGUAUUCUGCAUAUUGGAAGCAUGUCAUUCUUCCCCAAUUGGGGGUCACCAUGCAGGCGACCGAACAACUAGGAAGGUGUUGCAGAGUGGCUACUACUGGCCAACAUUUUUCAAGGAUGCCCACGAGUUUGUGCUGAAAUGUGACCAAUGUCAGAGGCAGGGGUCAAUCUCCAAACGACACAAGAUGCCCUUGACUAAGAUGCUUGAAGUGGAAUUGUUUAAUGUCUGGGGCAUUGAUUUCAUGGGUCUUUUUAUAAGAUCGUAUGGGAUGAAGUAUAUUUUAGUUGCUAUUGACUAUAUCCCAAAAUAGGUUGAAGCUGUAGCAUUGUCUGAUAAUGAAGGGAAGAGGAUUUUUGCUUUUCUCAAGAAGAACAACUUAUCUCCCCUUGAAGUACCACGUACUAUUAUAAGCGAUGGAGGACCUCAUUUUUGCAACAAACUAUUUUGAGCAUCUUUAGCAAAAUAUGGGGUAAAGAAGCAUUGAGUGGCUGCUCUAUACCACCCAUAAACCAGUGGGCAAGUGGAGGUGUCAAAUCAAGAGAUUAAAGCCAUCCUAUCCAAAAUGGUGAAUGCUAGCCAGAAAGAUUGGUCUCGAAACCUCGAUGAUGCUUUGUGGGCAUAUCGGACUGCAUUCAAGACACCCAUUGGCAUGUCACCAUUUCAGCUGGUCUAUGGAAAAGCUUGCCACCUACCAAUAGAGCUGGUGCACAAAGCCUUAUGGGCACUCAAAAGGCUGAAUUUAAAUUAGAAGGUGACAACAGAGCUAAGACUAAGGCAACUGAAUGAGAUGGAUGAAUUCCGUAUCAAGGCAUAUGAACAAUUAGAUCUGUAUAAAGAAAAGAUGAAAAAUACCAAAAUUGGAGGAUAGAGAAAUGAGACUUCCAAAAGGGUGACAUGGUGCUUCUGUUCAAUUCCAGACUCAAAUUGUUCCUAUGUAAGCUGAAAUCUAAGUGGUCAGGCCCUUUUAAAGUUAGCCAAGUCUACUUAUCUAGAGUAGUGGAACUUGAAAACAAUGAUGGCAGUACCUUCAAGGUAAAUGGGCAACGUGUAAAGCUUUACAUUGGUUCAAAAGAAUCAAUGAAAAGUAUCACCAUUAUCUGUCUUAAUGAAGUCUGAAGUAAUCAAGAUACCUGAGUCAUGCUGCGACAUUAAAUCAGGUGUUGCAUGGUGGCAAUCGAUGAACCUCAGGAUUGAUCCAUUCUAGGUAUACUCUAACCCUUAGUUUAGCUUUAUUUUCAAUUUUAAGUUGAGUGUGUAUGGUAGGAUGUUGUUGUAACAAUUUUUGGUAGAUAGUUAGGAGUAAUACAGGUACUGGAGGUAGUUAACUUGUUUUGUGACUUUUGAGCACCUCUCCAUUGAUUUAAGUUUAUAACUGUAUGAAUUGCUUUCAUUGGUGACUGAGGUACAGCUUUUUACGGCAUUAGUCUGGCGACUUGACAAUUUUUGUUGAACAAGUUGCAUGAAUUGGUUAAGUAGUGAUAUGCGAUAUAUUUGUGUGCUAUGUAUGUGUAAGGUUUUACUCAGCUCCUACUGUGUGCUGAAUCUAGAACUUUCCCUGUUAGUCCUGCCUAGGUUGUAGGAUAGGGGUCAGGAAAGGAUCAUAGGUCAUUUUUUAUUAUAACCCACUUUCAGCCUAAUGACCUUCCCAAUGUGAAUAAUAUCCCUUGAUCCCUGAUUUGAGCCUAUAUGCCUAUUUCUUUCUGUGAAACCUCUCACCUUCUCGUUUACCUUACAAUGAACCUGUUUUAGCCCUGGUCCUCCUUGGAAACUGUGCACCUUGACUUACGCAAACAGCCUAAGUUGACGGUGGCUAUCAUAGGAGUGCGUGAUACAAAAUGAGCAUGAAGAGAGGUAGAAUAAGAGAAAAGAAUAAAAAGUUAGGUGCGGUGAAAAAGGAAUAAGAAAAGAGAAAGUUGUGUGAAAGAUGAUCAAAAGAUAAUAUGAUGAUUGAAAAGACCACAUCCAUCUUGAGCAUGUGUGAUCAAUAAAAGAAGAGGAAGAAAAGAAGGUUGAGAAGUGAAACCCUAAGAGUUUAGUGUAGUGUCAAGGAGGCAUAGUCACGCUAAAAUAUCCAUGAAUAUCAUACCAGCCCCUAGCCUACAUUACAUGACUAAGAAAAGCCCUAAAAUGAUCCUAAACCUACCUUAAGAUUUGAGUACUGACUAUAAGGGCAAGCCUAUGAUAUUUGACAUGCAGUGUUUGGAACUUCACUCUGAGAGUGAGACUUGUGAUUAUCCCUAUGUUUAUGUAUGUGAAUUCUGAUAUGAGUGAAAAGGGGAUUUCUUUGUUGUGAGGGCACAUUGGGUAUGUUGCUAAGUCACUGACUUGUUCAGAUAGUCUGAUCUUGGUAUGGCAUGAUUGUUAUUGCUGAAUUUUUAUCGUAUCUUGAUGCUUGUGAGUUGCAUGGUUGUUUUUCAAAACAUCAACAGUAAGUUUUAAAUUGACUGACCUUGGAGAUGGUGAAACUAAUCUGAACUAAUAUGAGUAGUUAGCUACCAAAUUGUACUUUGUAUUCUCUUAGUUAUGUUUUAGUUGCUUGAGGACAAGCAAUUGUUUUAAGUUGAGGGUGUUGAUGUGUGAGCAUAUUCUAACACAUUUGAGGCUUUUAACUCUAAAUAAUUACAAGGUCUUGAGCAACUUUAGUUAUUUUUGAUUAGUUUAUAUUUGAUUUUAUAGUUUAAGCUGAUAUGAUAGAGAACCAACAUGAAAUUAAGCAAAGAAGUUGAAAUUUGAAGAAAUCUGAAGACAAGUGUGGCUAACGACAUUUGUGAUAAGUCGUCAAUCCUGUGAUAAGCUAUCAUGUUGGUCAUCAUCAGUAGACAGAGAAUUGGCCUAAAGUGGAAGUUGUGAUGACAUUUUGUGAUAGGCUAUCAUAAUGGUGAUAAGUUGUCGGGAAUGCCGUCAGACUUAGGCAGGACAUGAGAAUUGGAGCAAAAGUGUGACGACAUUUCUGAUAAGUCAUCACAGUCCUAAUAAUCCAUCAGAAGUUGUCAUCAACCUAAGACAGGACUAGUGCAGAUUUGAAGAAGACCUGACGACAUUCUUGAUAAGUCGUUAGGAUCCUGAUAAGGCGUCACCAAUAGUCGUCGUCUAUUCCGAGAAAAAGCUGUAACCUUGAUUUUGUUUUCUUAUUUAAGGUAAACUAUUUAAAGUUUUGUUUUAGGGUUUUCUAGAGGAUUACUAUCAUUAACAUUAUUAUCAUUAUUAUUCUAUACAAGGUCGACACUUUGAGUUUUGGACAACAUAUUUUGAUAUUUUCUCUCUUUACUUCUUGACUUGAACAACACACCUAUUUUUUGAGAUGUUAUUAUCAGUAUUUUGGGGCUUUUCCUUUGUGAUCUAAUCUGCGAUUCACCACUUAUUAUUCGUCUCUGUAAGUUUAUCUUUCAAAUCAUGAAUUCAAUUAUGUGUUUCGUUCGUUACAUCAUGAGUGGCUAAACUCCAUUAACCUGAGUUAUGGGAUCUAGGGUUAGGUCUUGAUGAGGUGCUAAUUAUUCAAGAUUCAAAAGGUGGUAGGAUUUUUUGAUAAUUCUGAAGUUUUAAUUAACGUUUGUUGAUGGCAAACAGUAGACACACCUGCUUUGAUUUGCUUGGGAAAGAAAUCAAAUAUAGUAGGAAGUGAAUUAUCAACAGGGACCCAGAAAUACUUCGUUUAAUGAUCAGCGUUGUAACAAGGUGGUUAACCUGGGGUAAAAUCUGGGCAGUAAAUAGAAAUUUCCUAAGUCCGAGAGGAUUAGGGAAUUAAACGCUUAAGUAGGUCAAGAGACAUUUAAGCAUAACAUCGAUAAAGAUAGCUUGUUAUCCUACCCACCAUGAAAUUUUGAAUCACUUUUAGCAUCUGUCAUGUACCGGAAGCCCUAGUGAACAUAAUUCUAGUUAUUUCAUAAACUUUUGAUUUACAAACACCGAAAGUAAAGUAACAAAUAACAACUUGUUAAACCUAAAUCCCCAUUUUAGGAAACAUUAAACUAUCAGUGGAUUAAAUCUCAAACAACUUGAGUUCACACCAUAUCCCCUGUGGGAUUCGACCCCAACCUAGUUGGGUUUUAUAUUUACAACGAUCGCUUACACACAUUCAAGAGUGUAAUUUGAGUGUUAUCACCUGGUUGUCUAUUGAACAAACCUUUUUCUUCAUACAAUGUUGAAUUCAAAAUAGUUAUGACACAUUGAAAAAAGUGUCAUUUUGAAAACAAUCAUCCCAAGUUAUGAAAUCAACUAUACACAUUUCACAUCGACUGGACUUAAAAUAAAAAAUGGAUCGAUACAUGGUCUAUGGGGUAUAGUUUAAACUGCAUAGUAUAUCAUCGACAAGUUGUUUAGUCUAUUAAAGAAACCCUUUUCCUCAUACACUGAAUCUUUUAAUGUAAUUAUUACACUUCGGAAAACGAUAUAAUUUGAAAUGCCUCGACUGCCACAACGCCGCGACUUUUUAUUUACAAUUCCCACAUACCUUCUCCAUUUCCAUCAACACGUGUACAACUACUAUUGGUCAGUUGUCUCAUUCUCUGGUCUAUUUAAAGAGGCCCUUAUCGAUUUUAAAACAAAUUUCUAAAGAAAAGACUAAGGAGAGAAGAAGAGUGCUAGGAGGAGAUACACACUAUGAUCAAUGCACAGAAUGAUAAUCAUUGACAACAUAGAGUUUCUUAGGCUUCGAGUGACCUGGAUUUUCUUUUCCAGGGUCUUACCGUGGACAGAGAGCUCCGAAAGAUAGCUCAUUUUAUUCGGGCCAUAGCUGAGAGGCUCAACCUGAACCCCCGUGAACCCAUCCCCCCCCCCCCCCCUUAUCUCACUAGUCUAGUCUAGUUUAGUUUAGUUUGUUUUGAAGUUCAUUGUUGAAUGAAGCUUUCAUGGUAGGAUUAUGUAAAUGAAAGCUUCAUUUUUUGUCUUUUUUUUUGGGAUUUUUUUUUUCAAAAAUUGUAAAUAUAGAUGCAAUGAACUUUAUCUAUCUAUAAACAAGUUUAUGUUUUCAUGAUAUUCUAUUUAUCUAUAAUGAUUUUAUGUCUUUCAAUCUUUGUUAAUUCUUCAGUAGUACAUGUUUAAAGAUUUGCAAACACUAUUUAAACUCGGAGUACAGUACGAAUAUAAAAUCGACUAUGCUAAAUACGAAUUAUAUACAUUCAAUACAAAUAUAUACUAGGUUACGUAUGAAUUAUAUACUAAUAUCAGUGUUGAUGAUCCUAUGUAUUGACAUAUUAUCGAUUUCGACUGAGGUCGUCGAUUAUAGACCUAUCAUACAGUCUAUAAUCAACUUACUGAAUAUAUUGACAGCUUAAAAUAAUGGCAAAAAAAAGAGAAAUUAAAUAAAAUAAAAUUAGAGUAUGUCAAUUAACACCAUUAAAAUAUUGUAAAGCAAUUUUGAUACAUCAAUUGUAACUCUCAAUCACUUUUGGAUGUGAUCAAGUGUUAUUUAAGACACGGUGUAGUCGUAGAUCAUUGAAAUGACACAAAAAGGAGAAGAAAUAAAAUAAAAUAAAAUAAAAUAAAUAUUAAUCAUCCAAGCACUAAAGAAUGACUACAUAUCAUGACAAGAGAUUAAAUGUGUGUGGUGACCAUAAGAAAGAGUGGUGGUUGUCACUUGUGAGUGUUCAAUGGACAAGUAGUGUCUAAGAACAAGGAGUCCUUCUCAACAGAGACGCUUGUUCUGAGUAAUUGAUUGUCACUACCAUUGCCUCCCCUAUACUCAUUUGAUCGAGUGUCCAAUUAUUUUGUAAUCUCAUAUUAUGAUAUUUAGUCACUUUACAUUGUGUGAAUGAUGUUUAUUUAUUUUAUUUUAUUUUAUUUCUCUCUUUUUUUAAUCUCACAUCCUUUGAAAAUAGACCUAUAAUGAUAUUUUGAGUAUAUUAUAGAUAAUUAGCUUUAUCCAUAUCAGACUAUAUUAUUAGUGAUGUAUUGAUCAAUUGAGUCUAUUUUCAAAGGAGGUGGGAUUAAAAAAAUAAAAUAAAUAAAUAAAUAAAUUAACAUCAUUCACGCAAUGUAAAGUGACUAAAUAUCAUAAUAUGAGAUUAUAAAAUAAUUGGACACCUGAUCAAAUGAUUAUAGGGGAGGACAAUGGUAGUAACAACCAAUUACUCAGAACAAGCAUCUUUGUUGAGAAGGACUCCUUGUUCUUAGACAUUACUUGUCCAUUGAACACUCACAAGUGACAACCACCACUCUUCCUUAUGGUCACCAUACACGUCUAAUCUCGUGUCAUGAUAUGUAGUCGUUCUUUAGUGAUUGGAUGAUUAAUAUUUAUUUUAUUUUAUUUUAUUUAUUCUCAUUUUUGUGUCAUCUCAAUGAUCUACGACUACACCGUGUCUUAGAUAACACUUGAUCACGUCUAAAAGUAAUUGGGAGUCACAUUGAUGUAUCAAAAUCGCUUUACAAUGUUUUAAUGGUGUUAAUUGACAUACUCUAAUUUAAUUUUAUUUAAUUUCUCCUUUUUUGCCAUUAUUUUAAGCUGCCAAUAUAUUCAGUAAGUUGAUCAUAGAUGGUAUGAUAGGUCUAUAAUCGACCUUAGUCUAAAUCAAUAAUAUGUCAAUAUAUAGGAUCAUCAACACUGAUAUCAGUAUAUAAUUCAUACGUGACCCAGUCGAUUGUAGAAGACAUAAAAAUUAUUUAAAGACCCUUUGAAGUAAAUGAUAAUCCAUUUAAUAUUCUCUCCAACGGUACAAUUCAAACGGUCAGAUUUUGGUAGCCCUACUGUAUUAAUUAAAGGGACCCUUUUGAACUCCUCCAUGUUCAUUUAUUCAUCACUUUCUAUUUUUUCUUCAACAAUAACAAUGUUGUAGUCAUAUCAAACAUUCAAAUGUUCUUAUAUUUAUCAUUGUGGUAAUCCUGCGGUGUUGAAAAUAUUACGAACCAACAAGAAUUCGAGUCGAAAAUUCUACAGUUGUGCGGUUGGAAAGGUUUGUUUUUUUUUAAAUAGAAUUUAUUUUUGUUCAUCACAUAAUCCAAUUUACUAAUUUAUCCUUCUUUUUUUAGGAUAAUGGUGGAUGCUCUUAUUUCAGGUGGCUUCCCUCCGAUUUUGAGGUAUCAAAAUUUCAAGGCGUUGCAAGUUUGAAAUGUUGGAAAGAUUUAGAGAUUUCAAAGAAAAUAAGGAUCUUCUUAUGACAAUUAUAUAGAGAAUCAGAACACAAGAUUGAUUACUUAAAGGGAUUGUUGAAAGACGUCAAAAUUGAGAGGGAUCAACUUAAGCAUAGGUUGGCUAUGGCUGAAGAAAAAGAAAAGGGCAUGAAAAUUAUAGUGUAUGGUUUACUAUUAGUUUUAGCUUUUUGGAAAGGUGUAAUGGGGUUGUAGUGGGAUUGAAUGUAUUCUGACUCUUUUAUUAAUCGACUACUUUUUACUUAUAUUAUAUAUGGUUUACCUUUUUCAUUCAUCGACUACACAACACUCUACUGUAUAUACUUUACCUUUUAGUCAAGAUCUAUAAUUAACGAUGACAUUCAUAUAAAAGAAAUGAUACAUUGAUUAUAUAAAAUUUAUAAUGUUUAUCAUAAACUAUAAAAGCAGUUUAGAAAAUAAAAUUGCUAAGAUUGUCUAUUCUAAUAAAAAUAAUCAUCACCCACAAAUAAAAAUUAAACAUUGUCUAAACAUUCAACAUUUUCGUCUUCCACUUGCAUCUUGUCGAUGUUCUGAGUAACUUCAUUAAGAAAUUCAUCUAAAUUCAAAAAUUCAUUCUCAUUUUCUUCUUCUUUAUGUUCUUCUCCCUCUUCUUUCUCUACUUCUCUUGCAUUCUUCUCUUCUACUUUCUCUCCAUCUCCUUUACUAUUUUCUUCUACACAAACACUUUUCUCAUUUUUAUCUUCUUCAUCCUACCUGCCUUCGUCAUGAUCCUCCUUCUCCACACCAACUGAUCCAUCAACUUUGUUUUCUUCUUCACCAACAUCUUCUUCAUUUUUUUCUUCUUCUUUCACUUCAUCGCCUUCGUCGAGAUUUUUCUUCUCUACAACAGCUGCAACCUCAGGAAUCAUCACCUCAUCAGCAUUGAUCGAGGCCUGUUCCAAAGCUGCUGCCUCAAGGAGCGCUUCUUUAAUGCCGUUGUCAUCGCGGAUAGCCUUCGCCGUUGAAUGCUGACUUUGCACCUGCACACCUAUAUUUUCAAGUAUUUAUCAUUUAUAAUAAACUAAGAUAUCGGUUGAUGAAGAAUGGUAUAGAUUCUAUUAUAAGUAAAAAAAAAUUAUAUAAAAUAUGCAACUUCUAUAAUAUAUAGAGCAGAUUUUACCUUCAUCUUCAUCUUUCUUCUUUUGCUUCUCUUUUUUUGCUCUCCUCAGCCUCUCCUCUUUCACAAAAUCAACUAUGUCCUUGAUCGACUCCUCCAGCCUAAACAUGCGCUCUUCCAAAUUUUCAAUCAUCGAUAUUUUUUUUAUGCUCUUGGCUUACUCAUCCCCGCGCCCCGAGUGACAUUCCUUAAAAUAGCAUUUCCACCCAAAUCCUGGUCACCAUCCUUAUCCUCACCAUCCUUCGAUGGGGUGAUAACAGUCACACCCUCCAGAUGGGACUUCAAGCCAUCGAUGAAUGUAUCCUUCGGUUCGUCAGUGAAUGCUUUGAACUUUUUCAUGUAGUGUUGCUUCAUUUCAUGGACUGUGGGGAUAAGGUACGGGUGUACUCUCUAUAGAUAAAUAGGCAAAUGUGAUUGAUUAGCAACACAAUAUUGGUAAAAGUACUCUUCAAAAAAAUAGUUCCAUACCUUUAUGCUCCAUCUAUUCAAAUAUGGAUCGCCUUCGAUUAGUUUAUCGCCUUUUGAGGUGUGCUAUCUGAGCAAUCGGGGAAUGGACAACGAAUCUUCAGUUGAUUUAUCAUUUCCCCUGUCGAGCGCAAAAAAAGCUUCGUAUAUCCAAAUUUUUUAUCAAAAGAAAAAAUAAAAACAUAUAACUGAGAGUCAGUAUAGUAUAGACACCAUAGAUGAAUUACAGUAUAUAAUAAACUACUUCAAUGAUUUAUAUAUAAUAAACUACUUCAAUGGUUUAUAAUCAAACACCAUAAAUGUCCAGGGAAAUUCAUAGAGCGCAUACGAUGAAACUUUCUUUGUCACAAAUGUCUUCUUUUGCCUUCUGAAGUCUAUCCACUUCUUUAGAUAGUCUAGAGUCAAGGCAAAUUACUCCUUACCCCAAGGGUAUCUCCCAAUGAAGCUCAAGUUAUCCACCAUCUUGAUGGUGUCUAUGUCCACAAUUUUUGACAAUUUACAUGCAAGCAAUAUGCAAUGCACGAACCAAACCAAGCAACAUUUGAUCUUGUCCUCCUUGUCCAGCCUCCCACCUCUAAUAAGCUUUAACAAUCUCCUCACAUUUACACUCCUCUUUUUUGCGAUCAUUUUGAAAAAAGUUUCACCCUCCUCCAUUGCUCUAACAUAUUUUGAAUCACAUGGGAUAACACCCACAGCUUAAACCCGUGAUUAGCGCAAAUUCCUUCAGGCUAAAACAUGCAAGUCUGUCAUUGAUGCAGAAUCACAUUUCAUUCAGCUUGUUGUCCUAUUUAAAUCGGCGAAGAAAUGUAUAGUGGACAAGCUGUCCGUUGAACUUCAUAUGUUCUGGCAAGUCCCAUAAACCAUCAAAACUGAAAUUCUUAAACCUAGAUUUCAGACGCUGAUCAACCACGACUUGUUUGGAUUCAUAAAAUAUUUUCAAACGGGAUCUAACAGAUAUCUUAGCCGAAAAUAAUCCGACAUCAUCCAGGACUGUGGAGAUCGUACCUCUCAGCCAAAAUAAACCUUUCACAGUGGGGCAAGAUCAAUUCUUUCUCAUCUAUCCUAGUCUCAAUUUCUAUUUUCUCCUGCACAUCUCGAAUCGAAGCUUCAAUAGCUUCCUUGCUGCAAUUUCUAUUCUCCGAUUCAUCGACUACUCAUCUUUUUUUCUCAGACCUAUCAACUUCUACAGCCUUGCGUUUGUUACCUCUAGCCAUUUGUUAUGAUCUACAGACAAAAAAUAACAUUUCUCAACUAUAACAACAAAUACAAUACCUAAUCGACCUAGCAGUCUAUUAACAUGACAAUAGUUGCAACACCAAAAAAUCCUAUUUGCAGAAGAAGUUUUUUCCAACACAACUCCAUCACCCACAAGAAGAUGCAUCUAAAUCACCAUUAUAUUGAACAAAGACAGGAAGGAACCCAGAUUUUUAGCAUGAAAAUCGAAAAAAAUUGGCAAAAAAAUUUCAAUGCAAUCAUCGAGGGAAAUUAAAAUCCAACAAAAACAAUGCACAAUCAAACGAACUACCAACUUAAAAACAUAAAUUUUAAAUAAAAUCAAGCCCCAUUUUUUCAAAAAAAAUUCAAUUUUUCGGGUCCAAAUAUUAAAUAUGAGUAUGAUUCAAACCAAGGAAUCCCAACAUGAACAUGCUUCUACAACACCAUUACAUUGGACAAAAGUUUGAACAAAAAUCACAUAUCUUGCUACAUUCUGACGAAAUUAGUGAAGAAAUUUCAACAUGCAAUCACCAAGGAUAAUCGAUAGACACUAGUUAUCCAUCAACAAUCAAGUAAAGACCAACUAAAAACAAUCAAUUUCAGUAAAAUCAAGUCCUGUUUAAAAAAAAAAUUCUUUUUCUUAACUCCAACGAGUUCAACCGCCACAAACGAAUUCGAAAAAAAAAAACAUCAAUAUGGAGCACAAAUUAACCGAAAGAUGAAUAUAACUUACCUGAAGUUGAAGAUCGAAGUUGGAGAUUAUUUACACAAGCUCGAAAUUGAAAAAUGGUAGAAAGGAGAGAUGAAGUGGGAGAGAGUAACGAGAAAAGAUGAGAGAGAUUUUAUUUUUUUUUGUAUUUAAUAGAAGAGUGGGGUUAAAAAUAUAUUUAAUAAAUACAUACGGGGUUCCAAAAGAUUUAGUAAAUACAUAAGGGAUGCCAAAAGAUUUUUCUAUUUUACACUUGAACCCAUACCCCACAAAACCCUAAAAAAUUAGAUCAAACGAAAAAAGGUGUCUAUUCUUCAAAAUAUUUUUUGAAAGUGGACUUUCAACUAAAUCUUCUCAGCAGAUUGUAUCGUGUUUCAUGGGCUGAGAUGGGUUGGAUCAACAUGAGCUAAACAAGAGGUCAUAAUCCGACGUAUCCAACUCUUACCAUGUUUUAAUUUUUAAAAUUUUUAGGUGAUCUAUUUAAGUACCUAAUAAUUAAUUCUCUUUGUUGUUGUUUUAUAUAAUAUAUCAAACAAAAGAUUGUUAAAAAUGAUUUGAUAAGGUUUUGCAUGGGUUAAUUUGGUACGUAGACAUCUUAAAUCAGUCCAGUUUUUAAAUAGGCUAAAUUUGACGGAUCAAAAUCAAUUGACUUUAUAGAAUUUUUCUGUUAAUUUAAUUUGUUGCAGUUUUCUUCCUCGAAAGCAAUCUUGUUACAGCUUGGUUGUAUUCAUUUCUCAUCUAUAAGAUUUAGUUAGCAACUGAAUAUUAAUAUUCGAAGAAAACCGCCACUAACCCUUUUUCUCUUCCUAGCUCCCUUCUCAAGUAUACGUCUUCUAAGGUAAUUGAUCAAACUAGCUUACUGUAAUGGUCAAAUCUGGCCAUCGUCUAACACGGUUCCUGAAGUCUAGAGAUACCAAUUAACCCCGCACCCCCAACCCAUGUGCGAAACCCAAGAAAGAGAAAAAGUAGUCUUGAGGGAUAAAAAAGGUGAUGCUUCAGAGUUUUGCAACUCCACAUGAUUCAUGAUUCAGGGAAAGAGUGCGCAAAAUUACCCGCUAAUAUCGUUGAUUAACUGAACCUUUUAUCAGUCAUAUUAUUUAUUCCCUUUUCACAGAUUUUAUCCCUUUUUGUGGAAACUCAACAUAAAUUAUAAUUGUCUUUCCAGAGUAAUAAUUAGAGGUUAUGUACCUUUAUUCUGUGCAACUGAUGACUUUUUUGUCCAUAAAGGCAUUAAUCUAAGUCUUGCUUUUGCGUAACUUGCAGUUCAGUUACAAUGACUUUUCAAAGUCUACAACGUGAUUUUGGCAUAUCAUUAAUUUGUGUUUCUUACAUCCAAAAGUAAUUCUAUUUUACUUUGUCUAGAACCUAGAAUUACCCCCAUAAUUGCCGCUCCUAGAGUUUAAAAUCUAAACUAUUUUUUUUUUUUCUUUUUUUGAAAUAAUUCAUGUCAAACCGCAAGAUACAGUGCAUGAAAAGAGUCAUUAUAUACACCAAAGUUUAAAGAAUUGUUGCUAAUUUAACUAUUGCAGUAGGAUAUUGAAUUACCUUACUGUUUAAUUUAAGUUACUAAUUCACGCUUGCCAUAUCAACGUAAUACGGUUGAUUUUAAACUAAUCUUGUAAAAACUUAUUUGCAAUUGUUUAAUUAUCAAAAUUAUUGAUGUGACUCCCCAUUGUCUUUUUAUGCCAAAACGAUGGGCUCCUAGCAUGUCUCUUUCAGUUCACAUAAAAUUUGUAUUUGCUUAUCAGAUAAAAUUAAACAUAGUGUUAACUUGUAGAUUAUGCAUGUGAACCUAUAUCUUUGUCAAGUCGUGUUGAAAUUCCCAGAAAACAGCCACUAGCCCUUCCACCACCUGAAGGUAAACGUGUACUUGACAAUAAAUUAGUAAGUAACGAAAAUUUGCCCGCACUUAUACCUCCCUUUUCUUCCUCCCUCCCCAAGUAUACGUCUUGAUCAAGCUGGCUUAUAAUUGCAGUAUGUUAGGGUCGAAAUAAUCAAGUUGUCAUGUAAAACCAAACAAAGCAAACCUCAAAAGAUGCUAAAUAAGAAGAUAAAUGAGAAAUAUAUCAAAAGAGACAAUAAUUUAACGUAGUUUGGUCAAUCAAUCUACAUCUACAAAAAGAGAUGAUGAGUACAAAAUAUCGAGAGAAAUAACCUAAAAAAUUCACUCAGAAUAAAAAGAAGUUCACGAAUGUGGAAACCAUAACACUUGUGUGUCACAAAUUUUCAAAGCCCUUAAAGAAUGAGCUCUAUUUAUAGUCAUAAAUCUUUUCCUUCAAGGAAGAAUUAUGGAAAUUUUGUGUUCUCCUUUUAAGAAAAGAAAGCAACUGAUGACUUUUCAGUCCAGGAGGCACUAAUUUAAUCUUUGCUUUUGUGUAACAUGCAGUUCAUUUACACUGACUUUCCAAAGUCUACGGCGUAAUGCGGGCAUGUCCUCAAUUUGUGGUUAAUACAGUGAAAAGUAAUUUUAUUUUGCUUUUGUCUAGAAACAUAGAGUUACUCACUUAAUCGUGCGCUGCAAGAGUUUAAAAUCCACAUUUUAAAAAAAAAAUCAUGGUAAGCCGGACUAGUAGCAAAUGAUUCUAGUAAAUAGAUAUUGUUUCGUAGAAUUGAUUGUUCUUUCUUUCUCUUCUUCUAGAGGGAAUGAUAAUUCGUGCAUGAAAAAAAAAAUAAGUAAAGUUAUUAUAUACUCCAAAAGCAUAAAGAAUUGUUGAGCACUAGCUAGUUUAACUAGCUAGCUGCCGCAGUAUAAAGAAUUACCCCUCUGUUUAAUUUUACUAAUUCACAGCAGCCUUACUAUAUAAACGUACUAGCUGAUUUUAGACUAAUCUUGUACAUAAAAUUGUUUGCCAUUGUUCAAUUAUCAAAUUAUUAAACAUAGUUUUAUCUUGGUAUAUUAGGCAUGUGACGACGUGAAAAUCUAUCUUUGUCAAGUCGUGCUGAACAUAUAAACAAAAUUUUUAACCCUCAUUUUUCUAUGGUGCUAAUUUUGACAAUAUUUUCUUCCACUGCCCACAUUCACGGGCUAACCACAAACUUCUUUGUUUUGCUGCCAAGAUUUUCUCUUCUUUUUUUACUUUUUUUGUCAAGAUAUGCCUAUAAAUACCAAAGACAUCUCACAUCUCCAAAUCAUAAACACAAUCAACUUCUCUAUUUCCCUCCAAUUUGUGUCAAAAAGCAAAGCAAAAAGAAAUGGAGAUCUCAAAGCUUUCAACCUUUGUUGUGUUCAUGGUUUUAGCCAUGGCUCAUUCUUCACUUGCCCAAAACUCGCCCAAGGAUAUCGUUUUAGCCCACAACAACGCCCGCGCACAAGUUGGUGUCCCACUCCCACCACUAACAUGGAACGACACAGUUGCUGCCUAUGCCAAUCAAUAUGCAUCCACCAGAUUAGCUGAAUGCACCUUGGUGCAUUCAGAUUCACCCUAUGGUGAAAAUCUUGCCAUGGGCUAUGGCGACUUUUCGGCUGUCGAGGCCGUUAACAUGUGGGUCGGAGAGAAACCAAACUACGACUAUGACUCCAACUCUUGCAAACAAGAUAUGUGUGGCCAUUAUACUCAGGUGAUCUGGAAAAACACCCUUCAAGUUGGAUGUGCAAGACUGAAAUGUGAUAAUGGUGAAGCCUGGUUUGUGUCAUGCAACUAUUAUCCCCCUGGGAAUUACAUCGGAGAGAAACCUUAUUGAUUAAUUAAUUAAUUGUGAUGCAUGGUUACAAUAAUUUUAUAGUAAUUGCAUUACUUUCAUCCCAUGUUAGUCAAGUACGUAUAAUAUAGGUUCCAAUUUCGGCUUGUAAUAUGGGAAGUUGUCCUUACCUGCCCUGAGACAAAAUGGAAUUUAAAUAAUAAAUUAAAGACUAAUUUUGGAUCAAGUAUAUUCUUUAUGAUCAUCAGGUUACAUCUUCUCUUCAAUAAAUAUUUUCUUAGCAAUUUCAACAUUUUGUUAUAUCAUGAAGAUCUGCUAGAUAACUUUAUUCAAUGUUGCGUUGGGAUAGAGUUAAAUCUCGUUGAUUUAAAGGAAAAAUUAGAUAUAAUUAAUCAAACACAGCUACUAUGUUUACUAUACAUAUAUAUCGCUAUAGAUUAACUAGACAUAACUAUAAUUAGGUUUUAUAGCUUCUCGAUCUCUCCUAUAUAUAUCUUCCUCUCUCUCUCCCCCCCCCCCCCCCACCCCCCCUAUGACUAAGAAAAAAGAAACUAAGAAAAGCACAAUACAUCAGACUCUUCCCCUUCCCUCCCUCGCUCUGAUCUCCCCUGGAUCUCUCUUUCCUUCUUUACGACUAAGAAAAUGAAGAAUAAGAAGCAGAUUGUAUAAUGUUUUAUGGCUUGAGAUGGAUUGGAUCAACAUGAGCUAAAGUAGAUCAUAAUCCGACAUAUUCAAUUCUUACCAUGUUUUAAUUUUUUGAUGAUCUAUUUAAGUACGUAAUAAUUUUCUCUUUGUUAUUGUUAUAUAUAUCAUAUAAAAUAAAAAGUUUAAACAAAAUGUUUUGAUGAGGUUUUGCAUGGGUUAAUUAGGUGUACAUCAUAAAUCAGUCCAAUUUUUAAAUAAGCUGAAUUUGGCGGAUCAAAAUCAAUUGAUUUACAUACUAAAUGUAGAAUUUCUCUGUUAAUUUAAUUUGUUGCAGUUUUCUUCCUUGAGAGCAAUCUUGUUACAAGUUGGUUGUACUCAUUUCUCAUCUAGAAGAUUUAGUUACCAACUGAAUAUUAAAAUUCCCUGAAAACAGCCACUAGCCCUUCUAAGUUCCUCCACCUGAAGGUAAACGUGCACUUGACACUAAAAUAGUAAGGGACUAAAAUUUGCCUAGACUUAUACCUCUUUUUUCUUCCUCACCCCCACCCCCACCCCACCCAAGCUUACGUCUUGAUCAAGCUGGCUUACUGCAGUAUGUUGGAUCGUAAUAAUCAGGUUGUCAUAUAAAAUUGAACAAAGCAAACCUUGAAAGAUGUUGAAUAAGAAAACAAAUGAGAAAUAUCAAAAGAGAUAUAAUAAUUUAGAGAUUAACUAAUAUACACUGACAGUGUAUGCUUAUUUUACACUGUCAGGUUAUUUUAACUCGCUAUUUCCGGUGACAUCUCUUUUCUUUUAAUUUUUGGAAUGAUCAUUCCCUUAAUCUCCUCCUGAUUUUUUUAUGCGAAUCUUAGUCUUUCGUUCAUCUUUUAUACCACUUUGGCCCUUCCCACUCUCUCCCUCUGGACUUUGUUCACAGCCCUCCAAGUUUGUAUCUCUAAAUGAAUAAAUCAAUGAGAAAAAAAAAAAUCAAUUUUUGUAUUUGAGUCGGAAGCAUUUAUUCACAAUGGAAAAUUUAAUAAAUUUGAGUAAUAUUUUAGGACUCGUUUGGUAUCAGGGAUAAUGGAUAACUAAUUUUGAAAAUUAAUUUUAAAAUGAAUUUAUCUCAUGUUUAAUUGAAAUAAAAUUUCAAAAUAACUUAUUUGCGACCAAACGAGCCCUAAAUGUAAAAUUUAAUAUGUUAAUAUAUAUCACUUUGUAAAUUUCUCAAGUUUAUACAACUCUAAAAUCUGUCAUGAAAAAAAACAUAAUAAGUAAAAAGUUAUUAUAUUCAUAUAAUUUUUGUAAAUUUCUCAAGUUUAUACAACUCUAAAAUCUGUCAUGAAAAAACAUAAUAAGUAAAAAGUUAUUAUAUUCAUAUAAUUUAUAGAAUUGUGCUGUUGAUCGCCUCAAAAUACAUCAAUGAAUUUGAUGAUGUUGAUGACACAAUGAUAAAGUAGAACUAAAUAAUGAAGAAGAUGAUAAAAGCCGCACAUCCUUUAAAAAAAUUGGUAAGAUAGGCCAUAAAAUAAAUUUGGAUAGAAUUAAUUCAAAGUUCAAGUUACCUUAUUACACUAAUUUCCUUAUUUAUAAUCAAAUAUUACAAGAUAAAUAAUUGAAAAUUUAUCUAUUUUAAUGCUUUAGAUUUACCUAACAGUGUAAAAUAAGCAUACAACUGUCAGUAGAUAUUAGUUAAUCUCAAUAAUUUAACGUAGUUUGGUCCGAUCUACAUCCACAAAAGAAAAUAAAUAAUUCACUAUAUAAAAAAAGUAUAAAAUAUCGAAAGAAAUAACCUCACAAAUUCACUCAACAUAAAAAGAAUUUCACAAGUGUGGAAACAUAACCUUAUGUGUGACAAAUUUUCAAAACCCUUAAAAGAAUGAGCUCAAUUUAUAGGGUCAUAAAUCUUUUCCUAUGAGAAAAUUAUAGAAAUUUUGUGUUUUCUAUUUAAAAAAACAAGGAGAAAUUAUUUGGAUUAAUUAUUAUUGGGCUUUUAUUAUCAUUUAAAGCCUAAUUUUUAAUUAAUUACAAUUCAUAGCCUUCUCUUACCUAUUAAUUAUUCCUAAUUAUAAUUCAUAACUUUUCUUAUGUAUUUUCUCUCUUUUUCUAUUUUCUAUUAUUCUCUUCUCGUUUUUUUUCCUUUUUCAAUUUUUUUUCUCCUUUUUUUUGUUGCUUUCUCUUUAUUUUUUAUUUUUUCACUUUUUUUCUUUUUUAUUCAUUUAUUUUUUGUAGCCUUACAGUUACACGCUACCAUAAUUGUGGCCUAAACCAUAUUUUCUUUCUAUUUUUUCAUCUUUUUCUAUAUUUCUUUUUUUUUUCAGCCCUUUUUUGCUUCUGCAUUUUCUUUUAUUAUUUUUUCGUGCUUUUUUAUUUUUUUGGUCAUUUUCUCUUCUUUUUUAUUUUCUUAUAUUUUUUUCGUUUGUUGUUGUAUUUUAUAUUUAUAUUUUUUUGUAUCAUACUAUGUAUUUUAAAUAAAUGUAUUAUUUGUAGUUGAAUAGUUUAGUUGUCAAUAUGUAUAAAUUAUCAUUCGUAUUUUUCUAUAUAAAUAAGUAUAUUGAUUAAUUUUUUUUGUUUGAGAUUAAAAUAUAUAAAUAUGCAAUUUGUCUUUCAAUGCAAAUAUAUCAUUGUAUUUUGUAUUUCAAAUUUAUCAUUUAUAUUUGUAUAUAAAUAAGUAUCAUUUUAUAUGCAUAUGGUUCAAGUUGUAUAAACAUGUGUCGUUGAUACAGAUGCAACAUUUGUAUUUAUAUAAUUUAUUAUUUUUAUUUUUAUUAUGAUACAAAUUGUAUCAAUAAAUGUAAAUCAAGUCUUCAUAGAAAGAAAAAUAAUAAGUUUUUUCUAAUGUUUAAAGAUACAAAUGAUGUUGUUAACUACAAAUUCAAAUACAAACAAAUGAAAUUACAAAUACAAAUACAAUAUACGAUCAACUUAUAAAUAUAAAUUUAAAAUAANNNNNNNNNNNNNNNNNNNNNNNNNNNNNNNNGAAAAUAGAAUACAAAUACAAAUAUAAUCUAAAUAUGCAAACACAAUAAAACCACAAUACAAAUAUAUUCCAAUAUAAUAUACAAUCAAUUAUAAAAUACAAAUACAAAUAUAAAAUAAUUUUAAAAUACAAGUGCGAAUUAUAUAAAAUAUAAAUGAUGGUGCGAACUAACAAAUACAAAUACAUGUGUGAACUAUAAAAUACAAAUAUAAUGUGAACUACAAAAUACAAAUAUAAACGUGAACUUUAAAAUACAAAUACAAAUGCAGUUGUAUCAACGAAUACAAAAUAUAAAUGACGGUGUGACUACAAAUAUGAUAAAUAAUUGUGGCAUUUACGUUAUCAUUCAUGACUUGUGCUCGAGUAGUCAUAUUUUUUGAAAAUACAAAAAAUAUAAAAUAGAAUAAAAAAAUGAUAAAGAAAAUAAGUACAAAAAAAUAUAAAAAAAAAUUAAAGAAGAAAAGAAAAGAAGAAAGAGAAAUGGAAGUUAGAGAUAGAAGAAAGAAAAAAAUAAAAAGAAAAAAAAUGAAAAAAAUAAAAAUUGUAAAAAAUAGAAAAAGAAGAUGAAAAAAUGAGGAAAACACGACAAAAGAAAAAAUAUAAGAAAAUGAAAAAGAAAAAAAUGAUAAUAUUUUUUGCGAGACUAAAUAUGUAGUGUAUUUAUGUUUUUAUGAAUACAAACUACUAAGUAAAAGUGAAUAUAUACAAUAUCUGUGAAUCGAAUACAACGGCUAAAUACGGACUGUAUUCAUAUAAAAUAUGAAUACAGCGAGCGUAAAUCGAAUACAGCGGGUAUAAAUUGUAAUUAUAUAAAAUGUGGCUAUAAAAGGUGGGUUUUAUAACAAAAUACUAAAGAUAAAAAAAAAAUCCAUUUAUGAUAAGAAAAUUAAGAAACAAAGUCCACUAAUAAAAACAAAGUUUAAUUUUGCAACUGAUGACUUUUCUGUCCCCGAGGCAAUAAUUUAAUCUUUGCUUUUGUAUAACAUGCAGUUCAAUUACUAUGAUUUUCCAAAGUCUACAACCUGAUUUGAGCAUGUCCUCAAUUUGUGAUUCAUACAUUGAAAAGUAAUUUUAUUUUACUUGUAGAAACCUAGAGUUACUCCCUUAAUCGUGCGCUCCAAGAGUUUAAAAUCAACAUUUAAAAAAAAAAAAAAAAUUGUGGUAACCCGAACUAGUAGCAAGUAGAUGAGAUAUUGGUUGAUCUUUCUUUUUCCUUCUAGAGGGAAGAUAAUUCGUGCAUGGAAGAAAAAUAGGUAAAGUUAUUAAAUACACCAAAAGCAUAAAGAAUUGUUGAGCACUAGCUAGUUUAACUAGUUGCAGCAGGAUAAAGAAUUACCCCUUGUUUAAUUUAAAUUACUAAUUCGCGGCACACUUACUAUAUAAACGUACUAAGCUGAUUUUAGAUUAAUCUUGUUUCUUGUACGUAAAAUUUUUUGCCAUUGUUCAAUUAUCAAAAAAUUAAACAUAGUUUUAGCUUGGUAUAUAUUAGGCAUGUGACGACGUGAAGAUCUAUCUUUGUCAAGUCAUGCUGAACAUUAAACACAUACACUCUCAUUUUUCUAUGAUGCUAAUUUUGACAAUAUUUUUUUCGAACUGCCCACAUUUACGGGGUAACCACAAACUUCUUGUUUUGCUGCCAAGAUUUUCUCCUCCUUUUUACUUUUUUUUUUUUUAUCAAUAUAUAUACCUAUGAAUACCAAAGCCAUCGUCUCACUUCUCCAAAUCACAAACACAAUCAAUCACCUUCUCUAUUUCCAUCAAAUUUGUCUCAAAAAGCAAAGGAAAAGGAAAUGGAGAUCUCAAAACUUUCAACCUUUGUUGGGUUCAUGGUUUUAGCCAUGGCUCAUUCUUCACUCACCCAAAAUUUGCCCGACGAUAUCGUUAUAGCCCACAACAACGCCGGCCCGUGCACAAGUUGGUGUCCCACUCCCAGCACUAACAUGGAACGACACAGUUGCUGCCUAUGCCAAUCAAUAGGCAUCCACCAAAUUAGCUGAAUGCACUUUGGUGCAUUCAGACUCAUCCUAUGGUAAAAAUCUUGCCAUGGGCUACGGUGACUUUUCAGCAGUGGAGUCCAUUAACAUGUGGGUAGGAGAGAAACCAAACUACGAUUAUGACUCCAACUCUUGCAAACAGGAUAUGUGCGGGCAUUAUACUCAGGUGAUCUGGAAAAACACCCUUCAAGUUGGUGUGCAAGAUUAAAAUAUGAUAAUGGUGAAGCAUGGUUUGUGUCAUGCAACUAUUAUCGCCCUGGGAAUUACAUCGGAGAGAAGCCUUAUUGAUUAAUUAAUUAAUUGAGAUGCAUGGUUACAGUAAUUUUAUAGUAAUUGCAUUACUUUCAUCCCAUGUUAGUCAAAUAUGUAUAAUAUAGGUUCCAAUUUCGGCAUGUAAUAGGGAAGUUUUCCUUAGCUGCCCCUGAGAAAAAAUGGAAUUUAAAUAAUAAAUUAAAGACUAAUUUUGGAUCCAGUAUAUUCUUUAUGAUCAUCAGCUUACAUUUUCUCUUCAAUAAAUACUUUUUUUUAGCAAUUUCAACAUCUUUGAGAUAUCAUGAAGAUCUACUAGAUAACUUUAUUCAAUAUUGCGUUUGGAUAGAGUUAAAUCUCGCGGAUUAAAGGCAAACUUAGCUACUAUAUUUACUAUACAUAUAUCGCUAUAGAUUUACUAAACAUAACUAUAGAUAAUUAGGUUUUAUAAGUUCUCUCUCCUAUAUAUAUAUAUAUAUAUAUAUAUAUAUAUACUAGUUUAGGUGUACGCGCCUUGCGCGUGUACCUCACUUUAAUGAGUUCAAAUAUUAUAUUAAAUAGGAUAUUUAUUUCAAUAAUAAAGAUGAAUAGAAUAAUUAAAUUUAAUAUCUUUUGAGUAUGUAAAGAUGGAAAAUUUAUUUAUUAAACCUAAUCUUUACCAAAAAUAUUUUUAAAAUUCGAUCAUCAUUCAAUCUAAUCUUUACACACAAAAAUUUUCUAUAAGUCGUCCUACACUCAUCUACCACCUGCAAACAAUAACAAAAUAAUACGAUAAAAUAGAUGUCAAAAUAAUACAAUUAAACCUAACUUUUACAUAAAAAAAUCCUCAAAGCCGACCAACAUUUAUCUAUCACCUAUAAACUGUAACAAAUAAUACAAUAAAAGUAAUAUCAAAACAAUACAAUUAAACGUAAAUGUUACACACAAAAAUUUCUCAAAGUCGAUCGAGAUUCAUCUACGAAUUGUGAACUGCCACAAAAUAACAAAUUAAUAGAGAUAUUACGAUAAUACAAUUAAACCUAACCUUUACCUAAAAUAAUUUUCAAAGUCGUCCCACAUUCAUCUAACAUCUGUAAAUUAAAAUAAAACAAUAAGAUAAUGAAGAUAUCAAAACAAUACAAUUAAACCUAACCUUUGCACAAUAAAUUUUUCAAAGCCAACUGCGACGUUCAUCUAUAACCUGUAAACUAUAAAAAAAAAAAAUAUAAUAGUAAUCACAAAGAUUCAAUUUUGAUCAACUAAUUCAAUUUUGAAUGAAAACAAAGAAGAGAUAUAUGUACAAAUUUUGAAUACCACAAUAAAUUGAAACGGAAAAGUACCAAACUAUAAAAUAGUGAUGAUGAUUGCUUCAACGUUGAUGUUACUAAUUUGCUUCAAUGGGUGUUGAAUAAUAAUAAACUGAAAAUUUACAUCAAUGAAAAUAAGAACACAGUGGAUGCUAAGAAUUCAUGUAUGCAUAUAUUGAGUCCAAAUUAUCUUCUACAACUAAUUUUUUAAUUUAUAAUUUUAAUUUUAAAAAAUAAAAAUAAUUAAAACUUGCCUUUAAUGGGAAGAUUGAAGAUUAAAAGUUGGCUCACAGAGAAGGAAUUAAUCAAAGGAAAUAAUUGUAAGAAAAUAAAAAAGGAAAAAAAAUGGCUCCUGCUAUUACCCCUUGAAAUUAGCUGGCCGUGUAAAAAUAAAAUUCCACUGGCUGUGCAUAUUAUAGAAAGGAAAUUCAAUAUUUAUAGAAAUAAUUUUCUUAAUACAGUCCUAUUUUGGAAGUAUUUUUUUAAUUAAAUAGUACAAAAAAUAUUAAUUAAUUCGCCUACUAUAUAAUUUAGGAGUCUCAUAUAUUUUAGAAAGUCUAGUAAUAAGAAAAAUAUUUUAGGAGUCUCAUAUAUUUUAGAAAGUUUAGUUAAUAUAAUAAAAAAUAAUUAAAUAAUCAAUUAAAAAUAUAAGGGUAAACUUUUAAUAUAUUAUUAUAUAUUAUAGUUACAUAUAUAGAUAUAUAGAUUAUAGAUACAACAACAACAACAACAGACCCAGUGUAUUCUCACAAAGUGAGGUCUAGGGAGAAUAAAAUAUACGCAGUCCAUACCACUACCUCCGAAAAAGUAUAUAGAUUAUAGAUACAACAACAACGACAACAAAAAACCCACCUCUUUACUACUAAAAAAAAUGAAGAAUAAGAAUCAGACCGUGUCAUGUUUUAUGGGCUGAGAUGAGUUGGAUCAACAUGAGCUAAACAAUAUAUAGGUCAUAAUCCGACAGAUCCAACUUAAAUUUUUUAAUUUUUUUGAUGAUAUGUUUAAGUACCUAAUAAUUCUGUCUCUCUGUUGUUGUUAUACGUAACAUAUCAAAAAAAAAAAUUGAAAAAUAUUUUGAUAAGAUUUUGCCUGAGUUAAUUUGGUGUACAUCCUAAAUCAGUCCAAUUUUUAAAUCGACUUACCUACUAUUUUCUUUUUUUCUUUUUUUUUUUUUAAAGCCACCUCAAUGGUGGGGGGUUUGGCAGACCCCUACCAGUUCAUUUCAUAAGCUAAAAGAGUUACAGGAGGAGGAAGAUUGUCCUUUCCUCUGUGGGGACUAAAGAGGAUGAAAAUCUCACCCUUAAACAAGAGGUGCCCUAUGCUGGUACAUGUUUGCGUGUUGCCAGAACUAAGACAAACAUUAUCAGCUAUGUGUAUGGCUUUUCCUUUCUGGUUCCAGAAAUAAAUAAUAGCAAGAGUCCAAAAAAUCAUAUUGGAAAUUGAAAAGCUUCUUUUUUAAUUCUGAUCCUAAUUAAAAUUUGGAAUGCCGUCUUGAUUAUUCUUCAAGGCAACUUUCACUUGUUUUGGCAGAGAAAUAAUGUCUGUAAAGAAGGUUUCAUGUUUCUUUAAAACUCCAGUGUUGGCUAGUAAGUCGGCAACCUCAUUCGCUUCUCUAAAACAGUGGAUUAUAUUGAAGUUACCACUCUCCAUAAUCCGUCUGAUUUGUUUAACAAUUGACUUACCUACUAAAUGUAGAAUUUCUCUGUUAAUUUAAUUUGUUGCAGUUUUCUCCCUUGAAAGCAAUCUUGUUACAACUUGGUUGUAUUCAUUUCACAUCUAUUAAGAUUUAGUUAAAAACUGAAUAUUAAAAUUCCCAGAAAACAGCCAUUAGCCCUUCCACCACCUGAAGGUAAAUGUGUACUUGACACUAAACUAGUAACUGACGAAAAUUUGCCUAGACUUAUACCUCUUUUAAGCAUACGCCUUGAUCAAGCUGGCCUGCAGUAUGUUAGGUCGAAAUAAUCAAGUUAUCAUGCAACACCUGAAAAAGUAAAGCUCAAAAGAUGCGAAAUAAGAAGACAAAUGAGAAUACAUCAAAAAGACACAAUAAUUUAACGUAGUUCGAUCAAUCAAAGGACAUCUACAAAUGUAGAUGAGUAAUUCACUAUAUAAAAAAAAGUAAAAAAUAUAGAUAGAAAUAACCUCACAAAACAAUUCACUCAUAAUAAAAAGUUCACAAAUAUGAAAACAUAACCAUUUGUGUGUCACAAAUUUUCAAAUUCCUUUAAGAAUGAGCUCUAUUUAUAGUCAUAAAUCUUUUCCUUCAAGAAAAUUAUGGAAAUUUUGUGUUUUCCAUUUGGAAAAAGAAAGCAACGGAUGACUUUUAUGUCCACUGAGGCACUAAUUUUAGCUUUGCUUUUCUGUAACAUGCAGUUCAAUUAAUGACUUCCAAAGUCUACAGCGUUAUUUGGGCAUGUCCUCAAUUUGUGGUUCAUAUAUUCAAAAGUAAUUUCAUUUUACUUAUGUCUAGAAACCUAGUUACUCCCUUAAUUACACUCUCCAGAAGUUUUAGAAUCUACUUUUCUUUUAAUCUUGGUGGUAACCCGGAUUAGUAACAAAUGAUUCUAGUAAAUAAGAUAUUGUUUCAUAAAAUUAGUUGUUCUUUCUCUCUCCUUCUUCAUGAGAAAAUGAUAAUUCGUGCAUGAAAGAAGAGUAAGUAAAGUUAAUCUAUACACCAAAAGCAUAAAAAUUUGUUGAGCACUAGCUAGUUUAACUAGUUGUAGCAGGAUAAAGAAUUACCCCUCUGUUUAAUUUAACUUACUAAUUCACGGGCACGCUUACUAUAUAAAUUUACUAGCUGAUUCUAGACUAAUGUUGGACAUAAAAUUAUUUGCCAUUGCUCAAUUACCAGAAUUAUUAAACAUAGUUUUAGCUUAGUAUAUUAGGCAUGUGAUGACGAACAUCUAUCUUUGUCAAGUCAUGCUGAACAUUAAACACAAUUUUAAAUCCUACACCCUCAUUUUCCUAUGGUGCUAAGUUUUGACAAUAUUUUUUUCCAAGAUGCCCACAUUCACGGGCUAACCGCAAACUUCUUUGUUUUGCUGCCAAGAUUUUCUCCUCUUUUUACCUUUUUCGUCAAGAUAUAUACCUAUAAAUACCAAAGCCAUCUCACUUCUCCAAAUCACAAACACAAUCACCUUCUCUUUUUCCCUCCAAUUUGUCUCAAAAAGCAAAGAAAAAAGAAAUGGAGAUCUCAAAAAAGCUUUCAGCCUUUGUUGUGUUCAUGGUUUUAGCAAUGGCUCAUUGUUCAUUGGCCCAAAAUUUGCCUCAGGAUAUCGUUUUAUCCCACAACAACGCCCGUGCACAAGUUGGGGUCCUACUCCCACCACUAACAUGGAACGACACACUUGCUGCCUAUGCCAAUCAAUAUGCAUCCACCAGAUUAGCUGAAUGCACUUUGGUGCAUUCAGAUUCACCCUAUGGUGAAAAUCUUGCCAUGGGCUACGGCGACUUUUCGGCAGUGGAGGCCAUUACCAUGUGGGUCGGAGAGAAACCAAACUACGACUAUGACUCCAACUCCUGUAAACAAGAUAUGUGCGGGCACUAUACUCAAGUGAUCUGGAAAAACACCCUUCAAGUUGGAUGUGCAAGACUGAAAUGUGAUAAUGGUGAUGCAUGGUUUGUGUCAUGCAACUAUUAUCCCCCUGGAAAUUACAUCGGCGAGAAACCUUAUUAAUUAAGUAAUUAAUUGAGAUGCAUGGCUUCAGUAAUUUUAUAGUAAUUGCAUUACUUUCAUUCCAUGUAAGUCUAAGUUUAUAUAAUAUAUGUGAGGUUCCAAUUUCGGCUUGUAAUAUGGGAAGUUUCCCCUUUUAUGUAAUUUUUUGAUGAUAAUGGAAUUGCGCAGUUUCAAUUUAAAAAAAGUACUUUGUUAUUCACUCUUAUAAUUGUAGACACCUAAUUCUGUCUUUCCCGAAAACUCAAAUUACAUAUUUUUAUCCCUGUCUUACCACGUGCCUUCACCUGUAUGAUUAUAUUCCAUAAAAAUGCAAAAAUAAUAAACCCACUAACAAACCUAAUCCCCAAUUAUUCUUUUGUAACAAAAUUAACCAACUCUCCUAUCAAUUUUGGACAACACGUCACUACCCCAUGCCCCCAUACCCUACCCAAUACCCACCCUCACCUCAUAUGUACACACAUACACACAAAAACAAAUUGGACCUCAGCAUACACGAAAAAAAAAAAGCACGAUCAGUAACAAAACAAAAAAAAAAAGAAAGAGAACAUUCAGCAUCAUCUCCUUCACCUCAAAAAGCUCCAUUUUCGUCACACACAGAAUAGAGGAGGAGAAAGGGAAUAAUUUCCAAGAGGGGCCCACAGUAAAAGAAAGAGGACCAUUUUUUCUUGGCUUCUUUUUGAAUUACCCAGAGUACAUCUUCUCCAUUGUUUUCUCUAUCACAUACACAACACCAAUAUCAGCGAACAAACAACCAGCGAACACCGACCAAUAAUCCAACAACCAAUACACAACCCGAACCACCAGCCACCGUCGAAUCACAUAAACCGACCCAACCGACCUGAAUUCGACCCGCAACCCAUGACCCGAACUAGCAUAUUGGCUCAACAGCCCGAGAACCUUCUAGAAAACAGCAAUACACGGAUCGCUCCAUGAGGAACUGAUAUACGACACAAACGCACACACGCACAGAUCAGGAGAAAGGAAAGAAGAUUGAGUGAUAGAGAGGGGGUUUGAGAGAGAAAUCGACAAGAGAGGGGAAAAUUGUGAGAGAGAGCUGCGAGAGAGAGAGAGAGAGCUGCGAGGGAGAAGUCGGGGUUAACAUUUUCGCCGAGCUGAUCACCGUAAAAACACUCGCUGUCACCGAAAUACGACCCUCUUCCAUCAGUUUUGCCGCCGUCUGAAUUCUGGAGUUCCGGCCAUACAUCUUUUUCUUGGUUUUUCUUGUAAAAUUUGGAUAUUUGUUGGUUCACUGCUCUUGGCGGAUUUUUGUUCGUAUAUUGUCUGUUCUGAGUUAUUUUAUCUUGGGGUCAUUGAAAGAUGGUAAAAGGGAUGCAUACUGGAGCUGGGGGUUUGAGUUGAGGUUUCGAAUCGAGAUUCUUCAGCACGCGGAUUCUUCCUCUCGAUUGAUUGAUAUUCGGAAUAAAAUCAUCAUUGAGGUCCAUUUCUACUCCUUUCUUUUUUUUUUAUUUUCAUUGUUGAUGGAAUAUGGUGUAUUGGAUGGAAUCCGUGUGAUGUUUGAUCUUGAUUAGUGAUGAAUUGCUACUUCGAUAUUGACUUGUUGCUUAAUUUCAUUGAAAUAGAAAUCAUGAAUUGAAAAAAUUAGAGUUAAAAGGGAAUUUGGGGGUGAGAAUUGAAAACUUGAUAUAAUUGGUGAAUUUUGGUUAGCUUGAUUCAUGAGUUGUUUGACUUGAAAUGAACUUUAAUUGAUCUUGGUAGUAUUAUGAUACGUCGAUUGGUUUAGGCAAACAUAGAUUGGGUAGGCAAAAUUUAGGAAUGGUAUUUCCAUUGAAUGUUUGGUUGCGCGUUUGUGGAAUGUCUUCUAGUUUAUUGCAUUGGAUUCAAGUGUAUUCAUUUGUCCGGGGAAUGCCCCGAGGUUUCAUGUAUUUAUCCACCGGGGAAUGCCCCAAGGUUUCAAUGUAUUUAUUCACCGGGGAAUGCCCCCGUAAUAUUAUGUUGGCGGAAGAUGAUCGAGAUGAAGGUCCGAGGCAUCGGGUGAAGCAUUGGAGCUUAGUCUAGAUUUAGUUUAGAACAAGGUUUAUAUUUUGGUAUUUUUUUUUCUAUCUUUGGACUGUAUGAUUGGACUGGGACUUUACAUUUUGGAUUGUUUUGUUUUGUUUAUUGUUUGAUUAUUUUGCGUGCUUUUGUGUGGUUUAUACAUUUCUUAGUGUCAGAAAAUAGUCGAUACACUCUACCAAGCGACCAUGGUUGAACCACGGGAUCGAGGGGUGCCUAACACCUUCCCCUCGUUCAACAGAAUUCAUUAGCCGGAAUCUCUGUUCGCAAACCAUUUUAAAGAGUCAAAUGGUUUUGGAAAGGAUUUUUCAAUGGUGACUUGGCACACCAGAUUAUGCCAAGUGGCGACUCUGAAUAAAAAAUAUAAAUAAUUUUUUUCCAAAAUAAAUUUUCAGUUCUUGUCACUUAAAUAAUAAAACCCUUUAGAACAUUCAAUUAUAAUCAUUUUGGAGUCGAAAAAGGGGUGUAACAAUAAUUACUUUUUUUUUAAAAGCUCCCAUGUGACAAAAUGGAAUUUACCUAAUAAAUCAAAGACUAAUUUUGGAUCAAGUAAUUUGAGUAUGUUCUUUAUAAUAAUCAACUUACAUUUUCUCUUCAAUAAAUAUUUUCUUAGCAAUUUCAAUAUCUUUGAGAUAUCAUCAAGAUGUACUAGAUCACUCUAUUCAAUGUUGCGUUCGGAUAAGGGUUGAAUCUCAUGUAUUUGAAGGAAAAAUUACAUGACUAUGGAUAAGGGAACAUAUAACAACUAUACUUAUUCCAAAAAAAAAAAAAAACUAUACUUACUGUACAUAUAUAUAUAGCUAUAGUUUUACUAAAUUAUAAUUUAACUAUAAUUAGGUUUUAUAGUUUCUCUCUCCUAUAUCUCCCUCUCUCGCUCGCUACUCUCCUCCCCUACUCUCCCUUUCAAUCUCUCUCUCCCUCUCUACGACUAAGAAAACAAGAAAAAAAAAAAGCACACUAUAUAUCAGACUCUUCCCCUUCUCUCCCUCGGAUCUCCCUUCCCUUUCUACGACUAAGAAAAUGAAAGACAACAAGCAGACUGUACCAUGUUUUAUGGGCUGAGAUGGGUUGGAUCAAAAUGAGCUAAACAAUAGGUCAUAUAUAAUUCAACAGAUCCAACUCUUAUCAUGUUUUAAUUUAUUUUAAUUUUUUUUUAUGAUUUAAUGUACCUAAUAAUUUUUUCUCUUUAUUAUUGCUAUAUAUAACAUAUCAAACAAAAAAUUUUAAAAUAUGUUUUGAUAAUGUUUUGCAUGGAUAAUUAAUUUGGUGCACAUUCUAAAUGAGUCCAAUUUUUAUUAAAUAGGCUGAAUUUGAUGGUUUUUUUAAAAAAAAAAAAAUUGAUGGAUCAAAAUCAAUUGACUUACUUAUAUAAAUUGGCGAGUCCUUAACCCGCCCAACUUGAGUAAGUCAGAUUCUUAUUGAUUAAUUUUAUCACCUCUAAUUCUAAUUUUGAUUAAUAAUAAAAUGGUAAAUACCAACCUGAUCAUGCUGUAGCUCGUGCAUCCAAAUUAUAUGAAAAAUCUAAAAAAAAAAAUUGUUUUUUUUUUUAAAAAAAACUUGUCUCUAUGUACUAUUCAUUCAUAAAACUAAAUGUAAUUUUCUUUGACUGCACAUUUAUGUGUACUACGUACUCAUUAUUAAUUGUUUGAAACGUUGACGGCAUCGACAAACUGAACCUUUUAUUAGUCUAUACUAUCCCCUUUUCACAAAUUUAAUCCACUGUUUGUGGAAACUCGAAAAAAAAAAAAAGUUCACAAAUCAAAACAAAAUGUAUUAAGUUUGUAACUGAUGAUUUUUCUGUCCACGAUGCCCUAAUUUAAUCUUUGGUUUUGUGUAACAUGCAAUUCAAUUACAUUGACUUUCCCUGAUCUACAGCAUGAUUUAGGCAUGUCCUCAAUUUGUGGUUCAUAUAUUGAAAAGUGGAUUUGGCUUCUCUCCACUUUUCUUCUCUCUAUUUUCCUAAGUUGUUAUAACUUGGAUUAAGAACAUCUGACAUAAGUUAAAUUCAAUUGCUAAAAUUUAAUUCGUUAAAGUAAGUCCUAGUUUAGAUAAUAAAUAAAUUAGAUAUUUAGUUCCCAAAAUUAUUGCAAUCCUAAUCUUAGCAACAUAUUAUUAUUAUCCAUAAAUAUAGUAAAAAGAAAAUUUCUCAUCCGAUACUUUUCUCCUCUGCGGGAUUUAAGAAAAUAAUUUACUAUUUUAUAUAUAAAAGUUUCAAGCUUAGACAAUACUACUAGACAUUUUUAGGUGAAUAAUAAUAUUUUGAAUAAAACAAUUAACUUAAAAUACACGGUAAAUAAAAAUCAUGAAGUGAAUACACUGCGCUUAAUAUAUGCACCAAAUGAAAUGAAAAGGAGAAAGCAAAUCUUUUACAAACUUGUUGGAUAGAUCCUGCAAACGGAAAAUAAUUAAAGGUAGGAAGAGAUUUAUUGUUUUAAUAUUUGUAAAUAACAUAAUAUAUUGUUAAGAUUUGGGGAUUAUGAUAAUUUUUUAAAUUAAAUAUAUAAUUUAUUUAUUUUCUAAAUUAUGAUUAGUGAGUUACUUUGAUCAGUUAAAUAUUAGCCAUUAAAUUUAACUUAUAUUAUAUGUCAUCAAUCCAAAGAACUUGAGAAAACUAGAGAGAGGAAAAACGGAGCGGACCCUAUCCCUUCAAAAGUAAUAGAGUAUUAUUUUACUUAUUUCUACAAACCUAGAGUUACUAGCUCUAUUAAUUGCACGCUCCAAAAGUUUAAAAUUCACUUCUUUUUUAAUCUCUGAGGUUACCCGAAUUAAUAGCAACGGGUUCUAGUAAAUAAGAUAUUAUUUUAUAAAAUUGAUUUUUCUCCCUCUUUUCUUCUAGAGGAAUUGAUAAUUAGUGCAUGGAGGAAAAAUAAGGAUAGUUAUUAUAUACUCCAAAAGCUUAAAGAAUGGUUAGAGUACUGGUUUAACUAGCUAGUUGCUGCAAGAUAUAGAAUUUACCCUCUGCUUAAUUUAAGUUACUAAUUCACGCUUGCUACAUAAACGUACUAGUUGAUAUUAAACUAAUCUUGUGCAUAAAAUUAUUUUUCAUUAUUCAUUUAUCAAAAUUAUUAAUGUAGUUUCCGGUGAUCUUUAGAUGCCAAAGCGAUGGGCUCCUAGCAUGUCUCUUUCAAUUCACAAAAGCUAUAUAUUUUUUCAACAAAAAAACUAAACAUAGUUUUAGCUUGGUAUAAUAGGUAAGUGCGACGUGAAAAUCUUUGUCAAGUCAUGCUGAAAUUAAACAUAAUUUUUAAUCCUACACCCUCAUUUUUCAAGGAUGCUAAUUUUGACAAUAUUUUUUUGAGUUUAAGACUAUAAGUUCUGUGCACCGACAAAUUCUACACUAUCAGUUAACUUGACCUGCUAUUACAAGUUAUCUAAUUAUUUACAUAAAAAUUUUAAAAAGAAAAAAUUAGGUAACCUGCAAGAGCAAAUCAAGUUUACCUGACAGUGUAGAAUAUUUUCUACACUGCACAAAACUUAAAUUAUAUUUUUUUUUUUUUCAAAUGCCCACAUUCACGGGCUAACCGCAAACUUCUUGUUUUGCAGCCAAGAUUUUCUCCUCUUUUUUACUUUUUUUUGUCAAGAUAUACCUAUAAAUACCAAAGCCAUCUCACUUUUCCAAUUCACAAACACAAUCACCUUCUCUAUUUCCCUCCAAUUUGUCUCAAAAAGCAAAGAAAAAAGAAAUGGAUACCAAAGCCAUCUCACUUUUCCAAUUCACAAACACAAUCACCUUCUCUAUUUCCCUCCAAUUUGUCUCAAAAAGCAAAGAAAAAAGAAAUGGAGAUCUCAAAGCUUUCAACCUUUGUUGUGUUCAUGGUUUUAGCCAUGGCUCAUUCUUCAGUUGCCCAAAAUUUGCCCAAGGAUAUCGUUUUAGCUCACAACAACGCCCGUGCACAAGUUGGUGUCCCACUCAUACCACUAAAAUGGAACAAGACACUUGUUGCCUAUGCCUAUCAGUGUGCAUCCACCAGAUUAAUUAGCUGAAUGCACUUUGGUGCAUUCAUAUUCACCCUAUGGUGAAAAUCUUGCCAUGGGCUACGGCGACUUUCGGCCGUGGAGGCCGUUAACUUGUGGGUAGGAGAGAAACCAAAUUAUGACUAUGCCUCCAACUCUUGCAAACAAGAUAUGUGCGGGCAUUAUACUCAAGUGAUCUAGAAAAACACUCAUCAAGUUGGAUGUGCAAGAUUGAAAUGUGAUAAUGGUGAAACGUGGUUUGUGUCAUGCAACUAUUACCCCCUGAAAAUUACAUUGGCGAGAAGCCUUAUUAAUUAAUUAAUUAAUUAAUUAAGAUGCAUGGUUUCAAUUAUUUUAUAGUAAUUGCAUUACUCAUCCCAUGUAAGCCAAGUAUCUAUAAUAUAUGUAAGGUUCCAAUUUCGGCAUGUAAUAUGGGAUGUUCCCCCUCCUAUGUAAAUUUUUGAUGAUAAAGGAAUUAUACGCGGUUUAAAAUUAAAAAACAAACAAAGUAUUAAUUAUUCACUCUUUAAAAUAAAAUAAUUAAAAAAGAAAAGAGCUGCCCUGUGACAAAAUGGAAUUUAACUAAUAAAUCAAACGCUCAUUUUGGAUCAAGUAUUUUUUGAGUAUAUUUUUUAUGAUCAUCAGCUUGCAUUUUCUCUUCAAUAAAUAUUUUCUUAGCAAUUUCAAUGUCUUUGAGAUAUCAUGAAGAUCUACUAGAUUACUUUAUUCUAAGCCUGUCAAGUGGGCCGGGUUCCACUUAAAAGAUCCAGCCCGGUAAGUCCUAGGGCUUUAGGGUUCUGGGUCCCGGGUUGAUUAUUUUUUUAAUUUGGCCUCGGUUAAUCCGGACCGGAUCAAGCCCGGUUCAGGCCUGAUGGUUAACCGGGCCGACCCGGCCUAGAAUCAAUUUUUUUUUUUUAAAACUUUUGAGUUUUUUAAAAUUAGUAUAUAACUAUAUCUAUAUAUAUUGUAAUGUAUAUAUAAUGUAGUAUAUUUUAUAAGUAGUACAUAGAUUGAAUGUUAGGUAUUUGUGUGUAUAUAUCUUCUAUAGACGUGUAUAUUUAAUGUAUACAUGUGUAUAUGUUUUAUAAAUUAGUAUAUAACUAUAUAUAUAGUGUGUGCAUAUAUUGUAGUGUAUAUAUAUUGUAGUAUAUUUUAUUUAAAGUAGUACAUAGAUUGAAUGUUAGGUAUUUGUGUGUAUAUAUCUUCUAAAGUAGUAUGUAUUUAACAUAUACGUGUGUAUAUGUUUUAUAAAUUACUAUAUAACUAUAUAGUGUGUGUGUGUAUAUUGUAGUGUAUAUAGAUUGUAAUAUAUUUUAAAGGUUUGACCGAGUUUAGGUGGGUUUGACCUGGUUGGUUAAGUGGGCCGGGUUAAGGUUAUUUUAAAAAAAUUACUAUUGAGCCCGGCCCGACCCGAUCCACCUUACCCCCAACUCGAACCUAGUCCGGCCCACAACCCGGCUAACUUUAAUGGGCCGGUUCCGGAUUGGCCUGGCUCGGCCCACCUGACAGCCUUACUUUAUUCAAUGUUGCAUUCGGAUAAGGGUAAAAUCUCUUGUUUUUUAAGAAAAAUUAUAUAACUAAGGGAACAUAACAACUAUAUUUACUGAACAUAUAUAGCUAUAUUUUUACUAAAACCUUUUUUUUUUGUUGUUUUGAUAUGUUAUAUAGAAAUAUUAAAGGGAAGUUCUCCCCCUCUUUUCCUCUCUACUACUAAGAAAACAAGAAAAACAAGCACAAUAUAUAUCAGACUAUUUCCCUUCUCUCCCUCUGAUCUCCCUUUUCUUUCCUCUACGACUAAGAAAAUGAAAAACAAGAAUUGAAGCAGAUUGUAUCAUGUUUUAUGCACUGAGAUGGGGUGGAUCAAGAUGAGCUAAUUAAACAAUAGGUGUUAUAAUCCAACAAAUCCAACUCUUAUCAUGGUUUAACUUUUUAAAAUUUUUUGAUGAUCUAUUUAAGAACCCAAUAAUUUUCUCUCUUUAUUUCUGCUAUAUAUAACAUAUCAAGAUAAAAAAAAAUUAAAAUAUGUUUUGAUAAGGUUUUUGCGUGGGUUACUAAUUUGGUGUACAUCCUAAAUCAGUCCAACUUUUUAAUAGAUUGAAUUUGGUGGAUCAAAAUCAAUUGACUUACAUGUAUAAAUUGACAAGUCACAAACACAAAUUGAAUAUAUCAAUUUUUUAAGGGUUAAUUUUGUCACCUCUAAUUCCAGUUCUAAUUAAUAUUAAAAUGAUAUAUACCAAUCUGAUCAUGCAAUAGCUUGUGCAACAAUAUAAUAUGACUAACCUCUUUCCUUCUUUUUUUUUUUGGUAUAUUGUCUAUACGAUUCAUUAACAAAAGUAACUGCACAUUUAAUUACGUGUACUACUUUCAUUUCAUGUUUAACCCUAAUUAUAAUAUCUAUUUAUCAGACUAUGUACAUCACUAAUUAUUUAGAGGUUUGAAAAGGCAGAUAAUUGUUGAAAAAUGGGCAAAUAAUUGCACUCAGCCUUGCACAUUGCCACAUUCUAAUGAGUAAUGACCCAUGGGCAUAGGCAGCAACCUGGUUGCUUUAGACUUCCUAAAAUUAUCUAUUAAUAGCAUCGCCAAACUGAACAUUUUCCUAGUCAUAUUAUCCCCUUUUCACGGAUUUGAUCCAUUGUUUGUGGAAAGUCAAGAAAUAAAGUUCACAAAUCAAAACAAAGUGUAUUAAUUUUGCAGGUGAUGACUUUGCUUUUGUGUAAUAUGAAGUUCAAUUGCACUGACUUUCCAAAGUCCACAAGGUGAUUUGGGCAUGUCCUCAAUUUAUGGUUUGAAAAGUAGUUUUAUUUUACUUAUGCAUGUCCAGAAACUCAAAUUUACUCCCUUAAUUAUGCGCUCAAAGAGUUUGACAGAAUCCAUUUAUUUUUAUCUCUGAAGUAAUCCGAACAAGUAGCAACUGAUUCUAGUAAAUGAGAUAUUGUUUCAUAGAAUUGACUGUUCUUGACUUCUUCCCUCUCCUUUCUUCUAGAGGAAUUGAUAAUUCGUGCAUGGAGGAAAAAUAAGUAAAUUAUUAUAUACAUCAAAAGCCUAAAGAAUUGUUAGAAUUACCCCUCUGUUUAAUUUAAGUUAAUAAUUCACGCUUACUAUAUAAACGUCCUAGUUGAUUUAAAACUAAUUAAUCUUGUACAUAAAAUUAUUAUGGAGCUCCUAGCAUGUCUCUUUGACUCUUUAAGUUCACAAAAGCUAUAUAUAUAUUUGCUCUACAAACAAAAUUAUACAUAGUUUUUAGCUUGGUAUAUUAGGCAUGUGAUGACGUGAAUAUCUAUCUUUGUCAAGUUAUAUAUGCUGAACAACACUAAACAUAAUUUUUAAUCCUGCACCCUCAUUUUUCUAUGAUGCUAGUUUUGAGGAUAUCUUUUUCCAAAUGCCCAAAUUCACGGGCUAACCACAGACUUCAUAUGUUUUACUCCAAAGAUUUUCUCCUCUUUUUUACUUUUUUUAUCAAGAUAUAUCUAUAAGUACCCAAGGCGUCCCACUUCUCCAAAUAACAAACACAAUCACCUUCUCUAUUUGCCUCCAAUUUGUCUCAAAUAGCAAAGAAAAAAGAAAUGGAGAUCUCAAAGCUUUCAAUUACCUUUAUUGUGUUCAUGAUCUUAGCCAUGACCCAUUCUUCGCUGGCCCAAAAUAAGCACAGGGAUAUCAUUCUACUCCACAACAGGGCCCGUGCACAAGUUGGUGUCCCACUCCCACGACUAAAAUGGAACAAGACACUUGCUGCCUAUUCCAAUAAAUAUGCAUCCACCAGAUUAGCUGAAUGCACUUUGGUGCAUUCACACUCACCCUAUGGUGAAAAUCUUGCCAUGGGCUAUGGCAACUUUUCGGCUGCGGAGGCCAUUAACAUGUGGGUCGGAGAGAAACCGAACUACGACUAUGCCUCCAACUCAUGCAAACAAGAUAUGUGCGGGCAUUAUACUCAAGUGAUCUGGAAAAACACUCGCCAAGUUGGAUGUGCAAGAUUGAAAUGUGAUAAUGGUGAAGCGUGGUUUGUGUCAUGCAACUAUUAUCCCCCUGGAAAUUACAUUGGCCAGAAACCUUUUUGAUUAAAUAAUUAAUUAAGAAGCAUGGUUUCAAUAACUUUAUAAUUAAUUUACUUUCAUCCAAUGAAAGUAUGUAAGGUUUCCAUUUACAACAUGUAAUUGGAGAAGUUGUCUCAGCUAUUCCUGUGACAAAAUGGAAUUUAAUUAAUAGUAAAUUGAAGACUAAUUCUCGAUGAAGUAUACUAUUUGAGUAUAUUUCAUAUAAUAUCAUCUAACCUUUUCUUUCAAUAUUUUCUUAUUAGCAAUUUCAAUAUCUUUGAAAUAUCAUGACGUGAUGAAGAUGUUAAAUUUCGUGAAUUAAUAUACAAAUUAUAGACUUGUAAUUAAGUUGGAUUAACACCGUGGAUAUUAUCAAGUCAUAACAAUUAAAUAGUAAAAUGUAACGGUUAAAUGAUGAAAUGCGCUUGGAUCUAGGUUCCUUGCUCAAGGUAAGUCAAGGUAAGCUCAAAUAACACAAAAUCAGUCACAAACACGCCACAAAAUAAUAUGCACCACGAGAUCCCACCUCAAAAAGCUUCAAACAAGGCACAACAAUGGUGGAUCUAGCUCAAAAACAACCAAAUCUUGUUCCAAAUGUAGAUAUAGACUCCCUAGGUGCUAGGGAACAAGAAUCUAGCACUUGAAAUCAACAAAACAACACAAAAACAUGUAGAUCUAAGAUUUUAAAAUCUGCCCAAACACAAAAACGGAUUUACAAUUUUUUUUGUGAGAUUUUCGAUUUUCUAUACUCUUUUUUGUUAAGAUUUUCUUAGAUCCAAGACUUAACAACCCUAAAACAUGACUCUGAUACCAAAUGAUACAAGAGAAUACUAGACUCUUUGUAUAAUGCAACAUUAUUUUUUGAUUGGAUUAUCUUAAAGUAAGUUUUAGAUCUAGUAGCAGGCUCAAAGGGUUAGCUUGGGCUACACCCUUUUUUUUCUUUAAACAUAUCUUGUUAUAUAUUCUAAAUUCAUCUGACAUUAGGGAUAUUAGGUUGUUUAGUUUCUAGUCCCCGAUGAUAGAAGAGAAUACUAGAAAUUCAUGAAAUAGACACAAGAUGCAAAAUUUGUGAUUUGGACAAUUAAAUAGUAAAAUGUGACGGUUAAAUGGAGAAAUUUGUGAUUUGGACAAUUAAAUGGUAAAAUGUAAAGGUUAAAUAGAGUAAUAUGCUAGUCAUAUUGAAUUUGAACAUGUCGAAAGUAAAUUAGUCUAGUCCAAAUACUUUUGAACUAACAGGACUUCUUUUAAUUUUUUGAUUAUAUAUUUAAGUAAAUAAUAUUUUUUUUCUCUUUAAUAUUUUUAUAUAUAAUAUAUCAAAUAAAAAAAGAUAUUUCUGAUUUUCCACAAUCAAUAAAGAUCUUCUCAAUAAAAUUAGUGGCCUAAAACAAAAUUUUAAUAUGAAGCUUUAAAUAUAUGCACAUAACAAAAAUAUUAUCAAUAAUUUAGAGUUAUUUUUUUAUUCUUGCGUACUACUUUUUAAUAGUGUUAAUAGAAGACAUUAAACAUUUAACUUGAUACAGUAAUAUUAUUAUUUAUAAAAAUAAGGACUAAUUUUAAUUAAUAAGAUGUUAGUCAUUUAUUUGCAAUUCAUUACCUUAAAUCUUAUUGUGAAAUCCUUAUUUAUUAAUAUGAAGAUUUGAUUAAAAGUUCUAAAAUAUUUUUAAUAAAAGUUAAAUAGUUCUUAUUUCUUUCCUUCUUAGUUUAAAUUUUGUAAUUUUGUAUUUUACCAGCUUUAAUAUUAUUUUAAGUAAAAUUAAGAUCAUAAAGUUCAUUUUAGAUUUUUUGCAGCCUCAAAAUUUAAGUAUCUAAAGCAAAUGUUUUAUUAGCCUUAGCCUUAAGUCAUCUCUGUCAAUAACCUUUGCAACAAUAUAAUAUGAAUAAUUAGAUUUUAUUUUUAUUUUUGGUAUUUUGUUUAAAUGUAUUAUUUAUAUACAAAAGCUGUAAGUAAUUUUCUUUGAAUGCACAUUUAUGUGAACGUUCAUUUCAUGUGUAAUCACAAUACUACCUUCGUCUCAUUUUAUGUGUCGUUAUUUGAUUGGGCAUGAAGUUUAAGAAAUAAGUGAUGAUUUUGUAAAGUUUAUAUAAUUGUCCCUCUUAAUAUUUACUUUUUAGUUGUCUUUUAUUAAUAAGUGGGCCCUACUAAGUAUAAAAUGAGAAUUAUGUCAUUAAAUAAUUAACAAAUAAGAAAAUGUGACAUUCUUUUUGAAAUGAACUAAAAAGAAAAUGACGACACAUAAAAUGAGAUGGGUGGAGUAAUAAUAUCUAUUUAUCAAAUCAUAUGCACCACUCAUUAUAAAGUCAUUUGAAAAGACAGACUAUUGUUUUUUUUUUUAGAAAAAAAAAACAAAUAAUUGCUUUCAAUCUUGCAAUCUAAGAGCUCGUUUGGUCGUGAAAUUUUUUUUCUUUUUUCCCAAAAAAAAUUUCGGAGUUGAAAAUUAUGGUGUUUGGUCAUGAAAAUUCGAAAAUAAUUUCGAUUUUUUCUUUUAAAAAGGGAAAACAGGUUUUUGAUGUUUUCUUAAUUUUUCAACUCCAAUUUCAAUUUUUAUUAUUAUUACAUAUAACCCAAUCUUUUAAAUUUUUACAUAAAACUUUUCUUAUAAUAUUACUUUUUCAAUAUUACGUAUAUAGCAGUUUUAAAGAAUAAGAUAAUUAUAAUUUCAAACUUAAUGUUAUCCUAAUUAAUAUGUAUCUCUUUUUCUCUCUCAUUAUUAUUUUUCUCUCUUAUUUAAUUUUCUCCCUUAUUAAAGACAUCAUUUUACUACUAAUGAUCCUAAUAAUAAUAAUAAUAAUAAUAAUAAUAAUAAUAAUAAUAAUAAUAAUUAUUAUUAUUAUUAUUAUUAUUAUUAUUAUUAUUAUUAUUUUUCNNNNNNNNNNNNNNNNNNNNNNNNNNNNNNNNNNNNNNNNNNNNNNNNNNNNNNNNNNNNNNNNNNNNNNNNNNNNNNNNNNNNNNNNNNNNNNNNNNNNNNNNNNNNNNNNNNNNNNNNNNNNNNNNNNNNNNNNNNNNNNNNNNNNGAAAUAUACAAAGUAUGUUAUAUAUAAAGUUUAUACCAUGUAUAUACCAUAUAUACACAUAUAUAAAUAUACAAAGUAUUAAGAAACAUACUAAGUAUAUUUAUAACAUAAAUAUACAAAGUAUGUUAUGUAGAAAUAGAAAAACUAAUAAAGACUAUAACAAAAAAACCUAAAGACCUAGAGAUUAAAACCACUCAAUUAGUAACAAAGAUUGUAGAACAAGUAGAAUCCAUAAAUAAAGAAAUAAGUGCGCUAAAAAUAAUAAUACAAAGAUUAGAAGAAAUCUCACUUUCAUGAGUGAAGAAGAUAUAAAUUACAAUAGGGCAUUAGAAAAAUCGAAAAGGUAUCACGACGAACCAGAAGGAUUUUCUAAGUAUCUUCCCUCAAGUUAGGCAGAUAAAACUAUAUUAAAACAAAACAAUACUAUAAUAGCACUAUUGUUAGAACUACAUAUAAAAAUAGAUAGUAUAAUUAAAGGCAAAGAAGUUCAAGUUUUCAAAAAUACAGAAAUAGACGAAUUAAUUACUCAAUUAAAAAAGGUUGAAAUAACUCCAAGACAGGAAAAGUAAAAUAUAAUUAAAAAAAACACAAAAAUGGACUUUCUUUCAGUUAGACCAAGAAGAGCCACCGAAGGGGAAAGGCAAAGAGUAAGUUUUUUCGAUAAUAGAGUAGAAAAUAAUCUUAUUGCCAGAAUACUAUCUAGAAGACACCCAGACAUAGAACAAGACCAGGAAUUAAAUGAAAUAAUAGAUGUGAAAAAAGAUCUACAAAUUUUUCAGCAAAAUCAAUUAAAAUAAUUAAAUCCUAAGACAUUAUAUAAUGCUUUAAAUCCUAAGACAUUAUAUAAUGCUAAGUAUUUCUCCACAGAUAAUCAGCUAUACAGACAUUAUAGAGAAGAACAAAUAUCUGCUAUAGGAGAAAAUUUUACAACCUUAAAUUUGGUAAGUACCGAAUCAUUAAAACAAAUAAGAAAUAAUAAAAUGUUGUUAAUGCAUAUGGAAUUAAUAGUCAUAGGAAUAAAAGGAUUAACUAGAAAAAAUCUAGGAUCGAAAGUAUUAAUAGUAAUAUAUGAUGAUAGAUGGUCAGAUAUUAAAAAAAUCACUAAUAGGAUUAACCGAAGUAGAUAUGACAAAUAAUGGAGGAAUAUUUUAAAUUUAGCCCAGACUUUUUAAUGAAUUUAAAAGAAUUUUAAAAAAAUAUUAAAAUAGAAAUUCAGACUAAAGGGCAUGAAGAAAUGAUUAAUGGAAAUAAUUUAUUAAUAUGUAUAGGUUUUAUAGGAAAAAUGACUUUAAGUAGUAAUACUAAGUUUAAAAUAAAAGUAAAUGAUGUAGUUGAAGUAAUGGGUAAUAAAGGUAUAAAAUUAAUAAAAUCAAUAAAGAUAAAUCCAAAAGAAUAUGCAGGGUUAGAAUGAAAUUUAGAAAAAUUCAAUAAGCCAAAUGUAUUUAAACCUGAAACUCAUUUAAUGUAUACUACUAGUAAAGGAGAAACAUCAGUAAGAUUUACAGACUAUAAUUACACAAGUCAAAAGGAAUUAGAAGAUAACGAAACUGAAAAUACCAUAGAACAAGAAUUCAUGAAUGUAGAAAUACUGCAAGAAGGAUAUGAAGUGAAUAAAGCAAUAGAAGAAGCACAAAGAUUAGUCGAAGAACAUAGAUAUAUAACAUUUAAAUAUAAAGGGUGUAAGAAAAAAAAUAUAAACAUAACACAAUGUAUAAAACAUUUUAAAACUUGUUCAGAAAGGGAUGAUAAUCUAGGAUAUAGAAUCGAAAAGGUGGAUACUAUCUCUACAACCUUCGAAAGACAAGAUAAAGACAUAAUAUCCACGAUAAGUUAUAAAGAAUUAGCAGAAAUGAAAACAGCUAGCUCAACAAGUGCUAGUUCAUUCCAACAAACUAAUCCACAUUCCCAACCAAUAGAUUAUAGUACAGGUAAUGCACCAAGAAGAAGAGCAAUUAGAAUAAAUCCAGAUACAGAAAUUAAAGAAAAUAUAAGACCGGCAGAAAGAAGAAUGCCAAUAGAAAACCUAUUAGAUUACAAGAAGGAGGUAAUAAAGGAAAAAUACUAAAUAUAGCAGCACAUGAUUCACAAAUGUGGAAUACAGUAAUAGACUUAUGAAAAGAAAUAGUAGUAGCAGAUUAUUUAAGACAUUAUACAGAAACAGAUACGGAAAUAAUGUACAAAUAUAUGAAAACCUUCUUAGGAGAAUUGGCAAAAGCCGUAUGGGAAGCUUUCAAGAUAAACUCUCCCCAUGAUUUUCAGGCAUUAGUAUCAUUAGGACUAAACCCUUAUAAUUUUAUAAAUAAAAUACACAAUUUACUAACAGGGGAGGAUCCGAAUAGUGGUUUAUUAGCAUUACAAAGAAAUACCUUCAUAAAAUUAGAACAGUUAAGUAUUUUAAGUUGGCUACAUAUAAAGAACUUUUUAAGAGACUAUUUUUAUUAUUGUACAAUUAGUGAAAAUACUUUUGAUGAAGAAUUAGGUAAAAAAAACUCUUUCAUAAAUUACCAAGAGUUUUAGGAAGAGAAAUAGAAGAUAGAUGGUAUUAAAGAGAUCGUGUAGUUCAAAAUCCACAUGCUAAAUGGACCAUAGGACAUAAAAUACAACAUGUAAUGGAUAUCUUAACAGAAAAAUGUACAAAUAUUCAAAUACAAAAACAACUAAAGAAAAACGAAAUGAACUUCUGCAAAUCUAUUAUAUAUACAACUCAAAGUUAUGAUAAUGAUGUAGAAAAAUCUAAAAACUAUAAAAGAAAAUACAAUAAACCACACUAUCAUAAAAAAAUACUACUUGCGCAAAUCAUCAGCCAUGAAGCCAUACCUGAACAAGCACAGACAUGUUAGAAAGUAUAGGAAUGAUAGAAAUUAUAAAAACAAAUUAGAAUGUUAUACAUGUGGAAGCAUAGAACAUUUAGCAAACAUAUGUCCAAAAAAAAAAAAUAAUAGAACUAGAAAUUCACAAUUAAUAUAAGACUUUCAAGAAACCCUAUUAAAUGUAGAUGAAUGUAUGUCAGAUACCAAAAGUAUAUAUUCCAUAAUGAGUAUAAACAUAGAUGAUACACAAAACUCUGAUUCUUCAGACUCAGAAGAAGAUAAUUUAAUAAAUGAAAUAGGACAAGAAGCAGACGAGUUAAAUUUAAAUGACUUAUUAAUUAGCAAUCUAAUGAAUGUUAUACAAAGCUGUAUACACAAUUUUCAAAGACAAAAAGAAAUAGACAGUAAUCAAUACCUCAUAUGUAACUGGUACCCGAGUAAAGACAAUAGAGCUAAUUGUACAAAAUGUUAUAUGGAAGCAUGUGUAAAUUGCAUAGAAAAUAAGCUAAAAAUAAAAAUAGAACCAGAAAUAGUUAAUGAACGAAAACAAGUAAAUAACCAGAUUACAAACUCAAGAAUCGCAACUUUAGAAGCCAGAGUGAAUGAUUUAGAACAAAGACUAGUAGCAUUAGAAAAAGGAAAAGCUAUAAUAAAUAAAGAUGAAUUAGAAACACAAAGAACAACACAUUUAGAACAAAUAGAAACAGAACUUUUGAAUGUAGAAGAAAAUACUACUUUAAUAUGUAAUGAAGAUAAGGAUUUCACGACGAUGAAAGUACGUGCUAAAAUAAGAAUUCAAGAUAUAGAAAUAGAAAUUUUAGGAUUGAUAGACACAGGAUGUACGAGUUGUAUAGCAAACAAAAGAAUAAUACCACAACAUGUACUUAAAAUCUUGAAAAAACCAAUAACGGCUAUACAAAUGGAUGGAUCAUAUAAUAUUUAUAAUUAUUAUAUCGAAAAAGCACAAGUAAGUUUUAUAAAUACGUGCAACGAAUUCUAUAAACCAACUUAUAAAAUUAUAAGUAUGUUAUAUAUAAAUUUUAUACCAUGUAUAUACCAUAUACACACAUAUAUAAAUAUACAAAGUAUUAAAAAAACAUACUAAGCAUAUUUAUAACAUAAAUAUACAAAGUAUGUUAUAUAUGAAGUUUAUACCAUGUAUAUACCAUAUACACACAUAUAUAAAUAUACAAAGUAUAAAGAAACAUACUAAACAUAUUUCUAUAUUUAUGGUAUAUGAUAUAAUAUAGAGAAAAGGCAUGAUUUCCCCCCUGAACUUGUCUGCUCAACUCACUUUAGUACUUAAACUAAACUUCUGUUUAUUUACCACCCUUAACAUCUUUAAAGUGUAUUAUUUUUACCUCUCAAAAUUGAAUACCACUCUCACAACGGAGAGUGUGUUACACUCGCCUACACAUCAACGCCACGUCAUUGUCACGUAAGAAAUUACUAUUUUUCUAAAAAAAAAUUAAUCCACAUACAUUAUUUUUCUAUAUUUUUUAAAAGAAAAAUAAAAAAUAUGUAUGUACUAUUUUAUUUAUAUAAAUAUAUAUAUAUAUAUAUAUAUAUAUAUAUAUAUAAUUAUGUAUAUAUAUGUAUAUAUAUUUAUAUAUUAAAUAAAAAAGGCACCUCCACCCCCCAUUUUCUUUCUUCUUCACAUCCCCCACCCCAUCCGUUCACCCCGCCCUCUCUACGUUUUCUCCUCUUCUAGCCCUCACCCCCAUCCCCUACCCUGCAAACGCAAGCCCCACCUCUCCUUGUUACACCCUUUUUUUGCUUGAGGGUAUUGAGGUCGAAGGAUUUUCCCAAUUAAAGUGACGAUUUUGAAUAGGGAUUAUUUUAUUUUACAGAUUCGCCACUUGAAAUUGAGUUUUGGUGUUGCAAGUCACCUUUUUGAAUCCUUAGUCAAAAGAAAAUGACUUUUUAUUAUGGUAUGCAAAAAUUUUAGACCGGGAAAGUAAUUCUGUUGACCGAGGAAAAGGUGUGAGGCACCGCUCGGGUCCCGUGGUUCUAGCACGGUCACUUUUAUUGACUUAUCUUGACUAAAACGAUUUUGAUAAUUAUGUCAAGGCCUAAAUUUGCUCAUUUUUUAAUGUCUAAUAGCUGUCUAUAACUCUUGUAUUAAAUCGGUGAAAAUUAAUUUUAGAAAAAUAUUUGUCAAGGUGCAUUAUUGCAUCCUUGAAUUUUUAAAUAUCUUAGAAAGAUGCGUACGCUGCAUUCUUAAUUGAAACAAAUAUUUUAAAUGUAUCUAAAAUUUGCCUAGCGUUGAAGCAUUGGUUAGUCUAUUAUAAAUUGAAGACAUCUAAACUUAAUCUUUUCUUUAAAAAUCAAAACAAUUUUUGUAUUCAUUUUAUCCUCUCCUUUUGAUUUUUAUUUAGAUUUGCAAUGAUUUUUGAAUUAAUCCGCAACUCGCCUCGUUCCCUCACAUUAAACUAUUCGGACACUAAAUAGUAAUCUAAAACCAAAUUUUCUUUUUCCUCCAUUAAUGCUACUUGAUAAAUUUAUUUUUUUUAAAAAUAAAAUAAUAAUAAUAAUAAUAAUAAUAAUAAUAAUAAAACUAUUGAAUAUUGGAAUUAAGAAAUAAAAAAUAAAAUACAAAACAUCAAAUGUGAUGACAAAAUAUUAAAUUUAACCUUACUUAACUUAAAACAUGAAAAUUAAUUUAUUACACACAUUAAAAAAAAUACUUGAAGAUGAAUUCAAUCGUGAAUACCCCACUAACAUAAGAAUAAUAUCACAUGAAAUAAUACUAGAAAGUAAAAAUUCUACUAAUGUAUUUAAUAUAAAUUAAUAGAAUUAUAUAUUGAACGGAUAUUUUUACGUCCAAUUGUUCUUCUAUCCAGUAAUAAGGAAACAUUGAUUUAAUGGCAUCAUUAUUCAUUUUGAUCUAUUUUUUAUUUGCAGCAAAAUUUAUUUUAACACCUUUUGUCUUCCUAAUUAAUUUUUAUAUGGUAGAGAUAAAGAUAUCAUAUACCAUUUUCGCUUACUCAGAAUAUAACAAUAUAAAAUUAUGAAUAUAUACAUGCUAUAAAUAUUAGUAAUAGGUUAAACAUAUAUGAAACUCAAACAACUUCAUAUAUUGAACUAACGUAUUGCUGUUUUGCGAUGUUACAUUAUGAAAAAAGAAAAUUUUAGGGUUACCUCUUGUGAAGAUAAUUCGCAAGCAAAAUAAAGAAGAAUCACGAACCCGAAAUCACGAACCGAACCUCAAACUCUAGGUUGCUUCAAACUCUAACUUGUUAUCUUUGGUGGCUUGUUUCGUUUGUUUCUUAGUCUUUUCUCUUUUUUUUUUUAAUCUUGUUUUCUAAUGCAUGUUGAUUUCGGGAAAACGUUAGGAGGGAGUAGUUUUCUUUUUAAUGUUGUUCCUCCUCUUUUUUUUUUCUCUCUUAUUUUACCCCUUAACAUCUUUAAAGUAUAUUAUUCUUACCCCUCAAAACUGAAUACCACUCUCACAACGGAGAGUGUGUUACACUCGCCUACACAUCAACGCCACGUCAAUGCUACGUCGGAGCCACGUCAUUGCCACACAAGAAAUUACUAUUGUUCUAAAAAAAAUAUAAUCCCCCAUACAUUAUUUUUAUUUAUUUUAAAAAAUAAAAUAAAAAUACGUAUGUACUAUUUUAUUUAUAAAUAUAUAUAUAUAUAUAUAUAAUAAAAAAUGCACCUCCACCUCUUAUUUUCUUUCUUCUUCACCCCCCCCACCCCAUCCGCCCCCCUCUUUAUGUUUUCUCCUUUUCCAGCCCUCACCCCCACCCCUACCCUGCAAACGCAAGCCCCCCUCCUCCUCUUCCAGUGCCUCCUUUUCCAGUGCCCCACCCCCUAGUUUUCCAAUUGAAUCUCAAUCGUUUUUUCAAAAUAAAUAAAAAAAGUCAAAAAAAAAACUUCAUUUUUUUUUUAAGAAAACAGGUGGGUCUCCUUCUUCCAUAGUCUUGGACCAAAGCAAACAUAGUGGAUAAAUUACAAAUAUAACUUUGAUUGCGAGGGCUGAAGAUUUGGUUUUGAAACAACAUAAUCGCUAUGAUGAUCUCAGACCAAUCACAUAAUUUGUUAAUUAUGAUUUCUAAAAACAGAAAAAAACAAAGUAAAAAAAAAAACUCUAUUUUUUUUCAAAGCUUUCAGCUAAAGGGUGAUUUUUUUUCCUUUUUGGUAUAAGAAUGUUGAAUUAUUACAUCUUAAUCAUUACAUCUUGUGUCCGAUUAAUUACCAUCUUGAAAGUGUUGAUGGAGAAUGUGUGUGAGAUUGUUAAUGGGGAAAUUAAUGGUUGAAGAAAAUGGAUGAAGUUGUUAAUGGGGGAAUUAAUGGUUGAAGAAAAUGGGUGAGGUUGUUAAUGGAGAAAUUAAUGGUUGAAGAAAAUGGAUGAGAUUUUUAAUGGUGGAAUUGAUGGUUUAAAGAAAAUGAAUAUUGUUGUUCUUGAUCAAUUGGAGAAGAAAAGAGUGUAGGGUGUGGGUUACCAUGAGGGGGUGGGGCAUUGAAGAGAAGGAUAUUUUUUUUAAUGUAUAUUAAAAUAAAAAGUGGGAUUAUAUCAGUUUUAAUUUAAAAAAUUCGGCUUUUUUUUCCUUUUUAAUAAAUAAACAGGCCCCUUUUUUAAAAAAAAUAUCACGUCAGCUUUAGGGGUCAAACAAAUACACUUUAAAGAUGUUAAGGGGGUUAAAUAAACAGAAGUUAAGUUUAAGUGCUAAAGUGAGUUUGGAGGAUAAGUUCAGGGGGGAAAUAUGUCUUUUCUCUAUAAUAUACCAUAAAUAUGCAAAGUAUGUUUUACAUAGAAAUAAUUUAUUUACACACAGUAAAAUCCUUUAUGCAUAAGAAAAUUAAAGAAAUAAAUUAGUGGCACCCUAAAAUUUAAUAGCAACUCAUCAUUUCCUAUUUUUUAGGAUCGAAAAAUAAAGGAAAUAAAUUAAAUAAAUUCCUAAAAAAAUAAAUUUGUUUGAAUGAUAAUAUUUGUUACCUAAAAAAUAGGAAGCACUGAUAUGUUAAUAUAAUAUCCAUAUUUAAAUUUUUCAAAUAUGAGAAAACGGCUAUUAAUGUAAAUAUUAUAUAUGUCAUAAUUGAAAUUCAUUAAAUAUGACCAUGUAUAUGUAAUUAUUUUUAUAAAAGUGGUUAAUUGUGUUCUUUUCCCGUUAGUGGGUAAAUUUUAGUUGAGUGAUUUUGAUAGUUUGAAAAAUUUGGGGCAUAAAAUUAUAUUUAAAAAAGUUUUUUCAAAAGUUAAAAAAAAAAUUAAAAAAGACAUGACCAAACACAACUUCAACUCCAAUUUCAAAAAAUUUUAUUUUUCAUGGUCAAAUGGCUAUUAAAUGUGCAUGUUUCGGGUUGAAACCAACUUCUGCACGGGUAGCCUUUUUUUGGACUAAUAACGAUAGCUAAGAUUUUAAAAAAAAUAUAUUGAGUAAAAGAUACAAUGAAUAUUUAAGGAACAAAUAUAAUUAAAUAUAUGAAAGUAAAUAACUAUGCUUAGAAUUUUGAUUUAAUUAAUUAAAUCUCAAUCAUUAAUUUAAACUAUGAUAUAUGUCUUGAGUCCAAAUAAAAACUUGAAGAAAUUGGAGAGAAAGAAAAUAGAGAAGAGCCCGAUUGCAUUAAACUGGCACGGCUCCGUGAUAUAAAUAAGCGUUUAUAAGAACAAAUGAUAAAUUCGAAAACCUGAAGUAUCAAGUACUCACAACUCACAUUAUGGCAAAGUCCCCAUUGUUGACUAUAUAAAGAAAACAUAACAUGUCCAUAGUCUCCUAGGGUCUCAGGCAACCUGUCCAUUAUUUGACUACGGUUAUCUCUGUGUUAGUGGCAGAGUCUGAAUUUAGAGUCUGAAUUUUUAUUAAGGGGUUUGUAAGUAAAUAUACAAACUAAUCGAAAGAGGUUCAACAUCUACUAUUUAUACAUAAAAAAUAAUUUUAACUAUAUAUAUAUAAUAUAAUUUUCCGCCGAAGGGGUUUGGAUGAACCCCUAUCACAAGGGUAGCUCCUCCCCUGCUCUGUGCCCUCUUCCUCACUUUCGAUUACAUCUUCUUUCUGUUUAAUUUCUGUAAGAGUCCUUUCUUAUUGAAUACUCUAUCCGUUUGCUUUUACUUGUCACAUUUUGUUUUUUUGACUUAACAAACCCAAAAUAAUUAAUAACAUGAUUAUUUAUAUCAUAGUAUACGUAUUAAAUAAUGUUUGCAUUGUAUCUUGAAAUUAAUUUGAAGAAAAAGUAAUUAAUGUUAAGGAUAAAAUAGGGGGAAAAAAAGUUGACUGCUAUUGAUAAAAUUCAAUUAGAAAACUAGUGACACUAAAAACGAACACUGGUGUAAAGAAGUAUAUACCAAGAAUGCUUUUAGAGUUAGGUAAAGCAAUUAGGUGGAGUUUUUCAAUAAUUAUUUCACAAUACAAAGUAUAAUUGUCUUUACAUGUUAAUAAUUAGAGGUUACCUUUAAUUUACAUUUUACAGCAGGUUAUAUAAUUACCCCUCUGUUUUCCUUAAUUUAAUUAAGUUACUAAUUCACGCUUAAUGUAUAAACUUACUGGUUGAUUUUAAGCUAAUGUUGUACAUAAAAUUAUUUGCCAUUAUUCAAUUAUCAAAAAUUAUUAAUGCAGAUCCCCAUUAUCUUUUGAUGCCUAAAGGACGGUCUUCUAGUAUGUCUCUUUCAGUUCACACAAGUUAUAUAUUUGCUCCACAACCAAAAAAAAAAAAAAAAAUUGAACGUAGUUUUCGCUUGGUAUAUUAGGCAUGUGAUGAUGCGGACCUCUUAUCUUUGUCAAGUCAUGUUGGACGUUAAACAAUUUUUAAUCUUACACUCUCAUUUUUCAAUGGUGCUAAUUUUGACAAUAUUUUUAUCCAAAUGCCAACAUUCACGGGUUAACGGCUAACCAUAAACAACUUGUUUUUCUGCCAAAAUUUUCUCCUCUUUUUGUCAAGAUAUAUACCUAUAAAUACCAAAGCCAUCUCACUUCUCCAAAUUACAAACACAAUCACCAUCUCUAUUUCCUUCAAAUUUGUCUAUAAAAGCAAAUCAAAAGGAAAUGGAGAUCUCAAAGCUUUCAACCUUCGUUGUGUUCAUGGUUUUAGCCAUGGCUCAUUCUUCAUUGGCCCAAAAUUUGCCUCAGGAUAUCAUUUUAGCCCACAACAACGCCCGUGCACAAGUUGGUGUCCCUCUCCCACCACUAACAUGGAAUGACACACUUGUUACCUUUGCCAAUCAAUAUGUAUCCUCUUUAAUAGGUGAAUGUGCAUUGGUGGAUUCAAAUUCAACCUAUGGUGAAAAUCUUGCCAUGGGCACCGACAACUUUUCGGGCGUUGAGGCCGUAAAAUUGUGGGUAGAAGAGAAAGCAAACUACGACUAUGCAUCUAAUUCUUGCAAAGAGAAUACAUGUGGACAUUAUACUCAGGUUGUCUGGAAAAACACCCUUCAAGUUGGAUGUGCAAGAUUGAAAUGCGCAAAUGGCUUUUGGUGGAUUGUGUCAUGCAACUAUUAUCCCCGUGGAAAUUUCGCUGGCGAGAAACCUUAUUAAUUAAUUGAUUAAUUGAGUGCAUGUUUUUAAUACUUUUGUAUUUUAAUUACUUCCAUCCCAUCUAGGUCAAGUAUAUGUGUAAGGUUCCAAAUUUCGUCAUGUAACAGGCUGGGAAGUUGUCCAAGCUAGCCCUUGACAAAAUAGAAUUCAAUUAAUGACUAAUUUUGGAGGAAGUAUAUUUGAGUAUAUUCUUAAUGAUCAUGAGCUUACAUUUUACUUCAAUAUUUUGGUAGCAAUUUCAAUAUUAUUAGAGAUUCAUGAAGAUCUAGUGGAUAACUUUGCUCAUGUUCUGCUCUGAUCAGAUUGAAUCUCGUGGAUUUUAAAUACUAUCGACUUGUAUUUAUUUGAAUUGGCACGCACAAAUAUAUAUAUACACACCUUACAACAUGGACUGUUUAACGGGUAAGUCGGAUUGAAUUUAGAUCGGUCAAAAUUUAAAAACGUCAAUAGAUAGUAACUCUUCUAAAGAAAAGUUUGCGCUGAGAUGGGUUGGAUCAACAUCAGCCCAAGGCCCCGAAAGGUAAAAAAGAAAGUUUUGGCAACAGGAAUAUCACCCCCAAAGGCCUAGAAAGCAGAAAAGAAGUUUUGGGCCUACUGGCAAUAUCACCCCAAGGCCUUAGUAGCACCACCAACAACUAUAACAUAUCCAACAUAAUCGACUUCAAAAAAUUUGAAUUUUGUGUCUCAUAUCUUUUUAAAUAGUAAUUCACAACUUAAUCAAUCCAAAAGUAAAAGAAUUGGCUUAACCAAAUCCUAUAACUAUGGAUUUACAAAUUUUGCAUCCACAUUUUUGUGAGACAAAAAUGCGCCUCACACAACUAGUGUCGGCUAUGUAAGUUACAUAAUAAAAAUUCAGUAAUUUCAGAGACAAGAAAUUUUACAUAAUUAUUGUCAGUUAGUAAGACAUGUAAUAAAGUUUUUCAUGACUAUAUAUAAUGUAACUAUGUAUGAGCAUGUGAAGUGGUGGCGUCUUGUUGAGUUGAGCUAAUCCCACUUUAGAGUGGUCCUGUGUUGAUUGCAAUACUACGUUACACCACGAUAGAAAUUAAUAUAAAUUUACUUUGAGGAGGCUGGCUGCGCUUGACUAUGUAUAUAUAUUGGCAUUAAUUUAAACAAUAAAAAUGGGAUUACAGUAUAAUAUAAAAGAAUUACAAAAAUUACCUUCUACAACGAAUUAAAAUAUACCCAUAGCCAUUGUAUAUAUAUAUAAUACACAGUCUGUGAUUACUGGAGUUGGCCAAAUAUAAUAAUCAUGGCAAAAAUAGUGUUCUUCAAUAUUGUUUUUUUUAAUGGCGGCUUUUGCUUAAACGAAUAGUUGCAUGUAUUGACAUUCUUGGAAUAAGCAAUAUAGUUUUAUAUGCUUUUCAAUUUAUUUAUUUUUGCACAACUUGCAAAUUUUUUAACUCAGCAUUCUUCCCUAUUAAAAUCCAUCCACAGUAUGCCUUGUUCUCAUCAAAACCCGAAAUGGAAUACUCCAUUUUAGUUGCUUGUUUCCUUACCUUUGCUAUAUUUCAUUCAUCACAAGCUCAAAAUUCUCCACAACAAAAUUUUCUUAACGCUCACAAUGCAGCUCGUAGACAAGUUGGAGUCAGCCCUAUGACGUGGGACAAUAGGCUUGCAGCUUAUGCCCAAAAUUACGCAAAUCAAAGAAUUGGUGACUGCGGUAUGGUCCACUCUCAUGGCCCAUACGGAGAAAACCUAGCCGCCGCUUUCCCCCAGCUCAACGCUGCUGGAGCCGUGAAGAUGUGGUUCGAUGAGAAGAAAUGGUACGAUUAUAAUUCGAAUUCUUGUGCACCAGGAAAAGUAUGUGGACACUAUACUCAAGUGGUGUGGCGUAAUUCAGUACGUCUUGGUUGUGCCAGGGUUCGAUGCAACAAUGGGUGGGUUUUUAUAACGUGUAAUUAUGAUCCACCAGGUAAUUAUAUAGGACAACGCCCGUAUGGUGAUCUGGAAGAACAACCUGCCUUUGAUUCCAAAUUGGAUCUUCCAACUGAUGUCUAAUUAUGAGUUUACGUAAUCAAAUCAUGAAUGAAUAAAGUUUCAAUGUGUUAAUUAAAAUAAUAACAAGUGUUAUUAUGUGAUGUUAUCAAUCUUCCUGAUGAGUUUAAUGAUAAUGUAAUGGGUGCAUAGGUAAAUAUAUAUAGUCGAAAUUGAUGUCCAUAUAUAUAUGGAUCAUUUGGACCCGUGCAUCUGAAUGUUAGUUGAUUAACCAGUUUAUGUAGAGUCUUUUGUUGCUUGAUUUUUAUUAUUGUAUAUUCUAGUUUUAAAUCUUUUUGUUGGUACUUGGGGUUUGUCUUAGUGGUUUUUUUUCUAAACAAAAAAAUAAUCCAACCACCUAUUUUACAUAUUAAUGUAGAAACAGUUACUUAUAAGGAGGGGGAAAUAGGACCAAAGAACAAAUGGAAUUAUUACUAAGAUACAGGCAAAGGUAGCCUCAACUACGAAGGGUCGAAGUUAAAGACCACUCCGAAAUAAGGGCUGUCCGUACAGUUGAAAUUAUGUCACCAGGCCUACGUUCUUCAGAAAUUAAAAUUAUGUUCGAAUAUAACUCGUGAAAUAUUAUAAUAUAAAAAUAUAAACUAAUAUCUGAAAAAAAAAAAAUUUAAUGCUAUGAGGAACAUAUAUUAAAGACCAAAACAGUAAGAACAAAAGUGCAAAUCAUUUUAAUGUGCUAACUAGUUUUGACGCUGGACGACAUUGGUUGAAUUUAAGUUUUGUGUUCACUAUCAAUUAAAUUUGACUUAGCAUUGCUGGUUAUCUAAAAAUUGGAUAACAUCAAGUUUAUUUGAUAGUAUAAAACAUUUUGAUAGUAUAAAAUAUUUAAUGUGCUAGCUAGUUUUGACGCUGGACGACAUUGGUUGAAUUUGAGUUUUGUGAAUAUUCACCAUCAAUUAAAUUUGACUUAAUAUUGCAGGUUAUCUAAACUUUGGAUAACAUCAAGUUUAUUUGAUAGUAUAGAAUAUUUUAUACACUGAUAACACUUUUAUUUUAUGCUGACAACUUUUAAAUAAAAAUACCACAACUAUAUUUCAAGUAUAUUAUAUAUAGGGAUAAUUACAUAACUUAGCCAAUAUUGACUCCUAAUUACCUUAUUUAACCUAGUUUCAAUUAAUUACAAUUUAUAGCCUCCUCUUGCCUAUUAAUUUUUCAUAAUUACUAUUCAUAGUCUCUUUCAUGUAUUUUUUUUCUCUAUUUUCUAUUACUUUCCUUUUGUUUUUUCCUUCAUUUUUUCUUUUCCUUUUUUUUUUUCGUUUUCUCUUUCUUUUCUUUUUUUCAAUUUUUCUUUUUCGUUUUCUUUUUUCCUUUUGUAUUCUUUUUCUUUUUCUUUUUCUCCUUUUUUUUUUUUGAUUUUUUGGUCUAUUUUCUAUUAAUCUUUUUUUUUUUCCUUUUUUCUUAAUUUUUUUUUCGUUUUUUUGUUUUCUCUUUCUUCUUUCUUUUUUCAAUUUUUUUUUCCUUUUUCUUCUUUUUCUUUCUAUUUUUUUUCUCUCUAUUUUUCUAUUACUUUCCUUUUUUUGUAUUUUUUUCUUCUUUUUUUUCUUUUUUUUUUCCUUCUUUUCAUUUGUACGAACUAACAAACACAAACACAAGUGUGAAAUAUGUUUUUAUUUUUUCUUUUUCGUUUUUUUUUUUACUUUUGUAUUUUUUUCUUUUUCUUUUUGUUCCUUUUUCAUUUUUUUGUCUAUUUUCUAUUACUCUUUUUUCUUCAUUUUUUCUUUUCCCUAUUUUGUUUUCUCUUUCUUCUUUUUUUUGUUUUUUUUAAUUUUUUCUUUUUCGAUGACUUUUUUUCAUUUUGUCUCUUUUUUCUUUUUCUUCUUUUCCUUUUUAUUUUUUUCCUUUUUGUUUUUUAUUUUUUUCUCUAUUUUCUAUUACUCACCUUUUUUGUAUUUUUUCUCCUUUUUCUCACAUUUUUCUCCUUUUUUUUUUCUUUUUAUUUUUCUCCUUCUUUUCAUUUGUGCGAACUACAAAUACAAGUGUGGACUAUAAAAUAUAAAUACAAAGGCGAAUUAUAACAUAUAAAUACAAGUGGAAACUAUAAAAUACAAAUAUAAAUGCGAACUAUAACAUAUAGAUACAAGUGUGAACUAUCGUUUGUAUUUUUUAAUUAUUGAAAAGGAACGAUUGAUUUUCUUUAUACGAAUACUUGUUUGUAUUUAUUUAUAUAAGUUGUAUUUAUUGAUACAAAUAAAUAUAAUUUAAUUUUUUUUAUAAAAAUACAAUAUGUAUUUGUAUUUUUAAAAUCAUUGGUUUCAUUUAUUUGUAAUUGUAUUUGUAUCAAGUGAUAUUUAUUUAUUUACAAAUACGAAUAAUAAUUUUGACAUACAAAUACAAAGCAGUACAUUUGUAUCAAAUGAUAUAUUGCAUAUUUAUAUAUUUUAGAAUCAAGAAAAUACAAUUAAUGCAUUUACUUGUUUGUAUACAAAUACAAAUGAUAAAUUAUACAUAAUCACGGCUAAAUACAAUAUGCAAUCAACUUACAAAUACAAAAUAAUUGUUUAAAAAUGAAAAGACAUCGACGAAAAAAGAAUACAAAUACAAAUAUAAUCUAAAUAUACAAACACAAUAAAAUCAUAAUACAAAUAUAAUCCAAUAUAAUAUACAAUUAAUUAUAAAAUACAAAUACGUACAAAACAGUUCUUUAAAAUGCAAGUGUGAAUUAUAUAAAAUAUAAAUGAUGGUGCGAACUAACAAAUACAAAUAUAAGUGCGAACUAUAAAAUACAAAUAUAAACGCGAAUUACAAAAUACAAAUACAAGCGCUAACUUUAAAAUACAAAUACAGUUGUAUCAAUGAAUACAAAAAUUAAAUGAUGGCAUGACUACAAAUAGAUAAACAAUUAUGGUAUUUACGUUAUCAUCAAUGACUUGUGCUCGAGUAGUUAUAUUUUUUAAAAAUACAAAAAAUAUAAAAUAGAACAAAAAAAAUGAUAAAGAAAAUAAGUACAAAAAGGAAAAGAAAAAGAAAAAAAAAGAAAGAGAGAUAGAAGAGAGAAAAAAUAUAUAAAAAACAAAAAAAAAUAAAAAUAGGAAAAAUUAGAAAAAAGAAGAAGAAAAACGAGGAAAACGCGAAAAAGAAAAAAUAAAAAUAAAAUAAAAAAUAAAAAAAUAGUAGUGUUUUGACAAGACUAAAUAUGUAGUGUAUUUAUGUUUUUAGGAAUACAGAACACUGAGUAAAAGUGAAUACAGCUGCUGUGAAUUGAAUACAACAGCUAAAUGGUAUUGUAUUUAUAUUUAUAUGAAUACAGACUAUUGAUAAAAUUGAAUACAGCGGACGUAAAUUGAAUACAGCGGCUAUAAAUGAUAAUUAUGUAAAAUAUGACUAUGAAAGUUUAGUUUUUCAACAAAAUAUGACUAUUUUUGAAAGAUCCCCUUAUAUAUAUACACAUACACGAUUCCUAAUACGAUUCAUUCCGCACGUUAUUAAAAUAGAAAUUUACAUAAACACAAUCAGUUUAAUUUAUAAUAUGUUGAUAUGAUAUUUAUGCAUUUGAACUUCAAAAAGGAAUUAAAAAUUGUGGUAAUAUAAAUAUAAAAAGAAAAUAAGAAAAAAAGGAGAAGAAAAGGAACUAUUACCCACUAUCCACGCCCUAAAUUCACUCCCUAAUUUCUCGGGGUUUUGGAUGAAUAAGGAAAUUUACUAAUUAGGUUGUUUUGAGAAGAAUUCGGGCUUUUGGAUGUAUAAGGAAAUUCAUUAAUUAUUAUUAGGUUAUUUUGGGAAGAAUGCUAAAAAAUAUGUAAUGUGUAUUUUAAGAUUGUGUAGUUACCUUAAAAUCUCAAAAACUUUUUGAACUCAACAUUCUUCCCUAUUAUUAAAAUUUAAAACCCAUCCAUACUAUGCCUUUGUUCUCAUCAAAAGACAAAAUGAAAUACUCCAAUUUGGUUGCUUGUUUCAUUAUUAUCUUUUCAAUAUUUCAUUCAUCACAAGCUCAAUAUUCUCCCGAAGAUUAUCUUAUCCCUCAUAAUGAAGCUCGUAGACAAGUUGGAGUCGGCCCUAUGACAUGGAACGAUACUCUAGUGGCCUUCGCCCAAAAUUACGCAAAUCAAAGAAUUGGUGACUGCGGGAUGAUCCACUCUCAUGGUCCUUACGGCGAAUGCCUAGCUGCCGCUUUCCCCGAUCUCAAUGCAAGUUAUGCCGUGAAGAUGUGGGUCGAUGAGAAGGAAUGGUAUGAUUUUAAAUCGAAUACGUGUGCAUCAGGAUCCGGACAAGUUUGCGGACACUAUACUCAAGUGAUCUGGCGUAAUUCGGUACGUCUUGGUUGCGCCAGGGAUCGAUGCAACAAUGGGUGGUAUUUUAUAACUUGCAAUUAUGAUCCACCAGGUAAUUAUAUUGGACAACGUCCGUUAGGUGAUGUUGAAGCUGCAGCUGAACAACCAUCCUCCGAUUCCCCGUCGAAACCUCAAUUCAUGAAUAUAUGGAUAAAGUUUAUUCAUCAAUUGUUAAGGAAAAUAAAACCUAGUCUAGGCUAUGGUGAUGUUAUUAAUCUUACUCUGAUAUGGAUAAUAAUCUAUAAUGAUAUAGUGAAAUUCUCAAAAAUAUGUAGUCUAAAUUAUAUUGAUGUCUCAUAUGGACCGUUUGGACCCUUGCAUCUGCAUGUCAGUUGAUGAACUCGGAAUCAAAAUGAGCCACAAAAUUAAAAAAUGACCAAAAUAGUUCACCUAUUUAAAAAGUUAUCAAAAUAGGCUAAACGUAAUAAUUUAUUACGUUUUUCAUUUUUUUGUUAAUGGUCAACAAACAGAGUUGACUUUUACAAUAACGUAAGAUUUUCUUACGUUUUACACAUUUAUUGUAAAACGUAAGAAAUUCUUACGUUUUAUGAAAAAAAGUAAAACGUAAGAAUUUCUUACGUUUUACAUGAUGGUCAAGGAAAAAUAAUGCAGUGAGUUGUCUAAUCUGUAUUAAAUAUCCUUUUUCGAAAAUUGUGCAACAACAUAAUAAAAAAUUACGCUGUACACUUUUACUUGACACAACGCAAUUAAAACUUGCGUAUUACACUUUUAAACUGUUUACUUUAUUAAAAACUUAAGGUGUUCCACUUUUUAAAAAUUGUCCAUUUUUUUUUUAUUAUAUUGUCUCAUCGCCUGGUCUUCAUCCCUACUUUUUCCACUUUUUACGUUUGACAAUUAUAAUUUUUUUUAUUUUAUGUAGUUAAAUUUAUUUAUAUUUUACACUUAAUUCAAAUAAUUUAUUUUUGCUCUGUGUAAUAAAUUUUUACGUUUUACAUAAAAAAAUUAAAAAAAAAAGAGAAGUAUCAAUUAGAUCAUUAACUUAACAAUUUUGUUAUAGUUAUUUUAUGUCAAAAAAUAAUCACUUCUAUCCUUAAUUAUUUGAUUUUUCUCUAAAAAAAUUAUACUUUGAGUUUUUCUUUACUCCAAAAUAGUAAAAUGUUGAAUUUUCGUUGAUAUAUUCUUGUUUUACAUCUUUCUGUUGGCACUUGGGGUGUUGUUAGUGUUUUCUGCUCGAUUUGAGUUUACCAACUAAAAUCUAUACUAUGAACAUGUACAAUUUUUAAUACUAUAAGGUCAAUUAAAAAAUAUUCUAUAGUAAUAUUAAAACUAGUAACUUGGAAGUCUGUCAAAUUACUGCUAUAACGGAUUACAACACACUGGUUGAAUAAAUAAUUUUUUACAUUACAUUGCAAUUUUGUAAAAGAUUGCUAUCACCACUUAUUUUUUUAUUUUAAUUUAAUGUGACUAUUUCUCAAAGUUAGCCCAAGCAUUUAUGUCUCGCCCAAUCACCCCUAGCUUAAUAGGUUUGGACAAGAGCGGUUUUGACAAUGGGUUAAUUUGGGCUAGCACAAGUUGACUCAUCUUGAAUCAAUAGCCCUAAAAGACCCAUUGUGACUCAUGGGUAUGACCUAUUGAUCAGUAAAGUGGAUUAAGAAUCUGAGAUCUCAGGUUCAAAUUCCAGCAGAGACAACAAAACACUUGAUGAUACUUCCCAUCAAUCAUAGUCGUGGUGAAUAGAGUUAUCCGAUAUCUGCUACUAGUAAGAGGCGACAGGUGUUCUGUAUAUUUAGACGAGGUAUAUUUAGACCACAAUUAUCAUAAAUACAUAUUUAAUCUUAGCUUCUGAGGUUCAACUCUAGAUUAAGAUUUUUGCAUAUCACAAUUGUUUAAUUUUAUUUUUUUCAUUAUCAUAUACUAUCAAUAUAGGCUGCAAAUUCAAAAGUUGAGGUUUUGAAACAAGGUAUCCAAUACAGAUAGAAAUAAAAAAAGUACGAAUAUUUACUUUUAAAUUUAAAAUAUUGCAAGCAGCAAUGACAAAUUCAAUUGUCAAAAUUGAAUUAUCACUUCAUUAUUUUAUAGAUUUCUUUUAUAUUCGAUGGUGAAAUAUAAAGGAAAACAGACAUGGUAAAGCUCUUUUUAAAAGAAAUUGCUCGAGAUUGGGCCUAUUGACAUAAAAUAUCCUGUUGGGUAUAUUUAUGAUAUAUAAUAGCUAUUUCUUAUUCUUUUUCAAUUUGGGUCAUUUUGACCCAUUAGUUCAAAUACAGUUUAUAUACUGUAUUAAUUCAGUCCAUAUACAAUACUGAUACAGUUUUCAACUUGAGUCAUUCAGUUCUUUUCUAAAAAUAUUUUCUGUUUUUUCUGGGGAAAAGGUCAGAAACAACACUUCAAAUUAAACUAUUUCCACGAAAAUGGCCGUGAAAUUUAAAUUCCACUUUCUAGCCAUUUUAAUUUGCUAGCCUAUUCUAUAUUAUUUCUACACACUUUCUAUACAGUUUCUAUCCAUAUUUUAUACAUGUAAACAUCCUAUACGAAAACUAUACAGUUUUGAUACAUAAUUUAUACAAUAAUUGUACUUUUCUUUUUUUUCCACAUUUUAUACAAUUUCUAUACGUAUAUCUUAUAUCGAUACAUAUUUUAUAUAACAAUUAUACCAUCUUUAUAUAAUUAUAUUUAAUUAUUAUUUCUAAACAAUUAAAAAAAGCAAAAUAUUUUUCAGUUAAAAAAUUUAUAACAAAAAAAACUAAAAUAUUUUUAAAAGGGCCGAAUGACCGUACUUGAAAAUUGUAUUAGUGUUGUAUAUGGACUGUAUCAUUAUUGAAUAUGCACUGUAUUUGAACUACAUGAGCCAAAAUGACCCAAAUUAAAAAAUGAUUAUAAAAUGAAAAUACUUUAUCCGACUGGCCACUUUUUGGCCAAAUCUCAAACUUGGGCUAUUUGUUUUAAAAUGUGUUACAUAGUGUCUUUUUCCUUUUUUUGCUACAAAUUUUUUAACUUAAAAACAUUCUGCUUUAUUUUAGUUUUUUUAAAAUAAUAAUUAAAUAUAAUUAUAUAAAAACGCUAUAAUUGUUAUAUAGAAUAUGUAUCUACAUAAGAUAUUUGUAUAGAAAUUAUAUAAUUCUAUCAAAUAUGUAUAUGCAUAACAUAUGUAUAUAUGUAUAUAUAUAUAUAUAUAUAUAUAUAUAUAUAUAUANNNNNNNNNNNNNGAAAAAAUGUACAGUUAUUGUAUAAAUUGUGUAUUGAAACUAUAUAAUUUUCGUAUAGAAUAGUUAUAUGUAUAAGAUAUGUAUAGAAACUGUAUAGAAAGUGUGUAGAAACUGUAUUAAACAAACCAGCAAAUUAAAAUGACUAGAAAGCGAAAUUUAAAUUUCAUGGUUAUUUUUGUGGAAUUUAUUUGAUCUGAAAUAUCAUUUUUGUCCGAUUUUUAAAUAUAAAUUUAAAAAUUAUAUCAUCCUAUUAAAUAAUUAAUUAAGUUGGACGGAUUGUAUUAUGAUCCCUUAUUUACUCUAUCAUAUCCCAUCUCAACUUUAGAAGGAUUCAAUAAUAACCAAUUUAUUGCUUCAACCAAUCUUGAUCCGUCCAAACUCAGGCCAAAUGGCCCAUUUGCCUUUCCCACCAUAUCAUAAUGUGGCUACUUUGCGGCAGGACGACAUUGAUUGAAUUUGAAAUGGGCCGGUGCCGAAAUUGAAGAACUCACGAUAACAUUAAUUGAUUGGUUGAUUCAAAAAGGAGCAACAAAGUAUUGGGAGUUUUAGCAACAGAAAACAUUAAUGGAUUAAACAAAUAGUACUCCUAGUAAUGGAUAACAGUAAUGGAAAUAGCUAAUUAGGGAGUUUCAAUAUAGUGAAACAUCAAAAUCGAGAAAUGUUACGUUAUAGAUAUUAAUCAAAACUUAAGAACGGUUUAUCAAGUGUUGUUCAUUAAAUUCUUUUUCCUGCUUCAACUAUAAUAAAAAAAACGUACAUUAAAUUUCAAGCACGAUAUCUAACAUGACGGACUUUUUGUGCAAAUAGAUUUUCAAAUCAAGAAAAAGGUGGUGUUAAAAGAAUAAAGUGAAAGUGCAAUUAAUUUUAAAAAAUAAAGAAAUAUAAUGCUAUAAUUUUAUUUGCUUUUCAAAUAUGGCUAAAAGUUGCGCUAAUAAGUAACCGUUCAAUUUGAUUGUUCUUUUACAACUUGCAAACUUUUUAACUCAGCGUUCUUCCCUGUAAAACCCAUCCAUACUAUGUCUUGUUCUCAUCAAUAACCAAAAUGAAAUACUCCAAUUUGGUUGCUUGUUUCAUUAUUACCUUUUCUAUAUUUCAUUCAUCACAAGCUCAAAAUUCUCCUCAAGAUUAUCUUAACGCUCACAAUGAAGCUCGUAGAGAAGUUGGAGUCGGCCCUCUGACAUGGGACAAUAGGUUAGCAGCCUAUGCCCAAAAUUACGCAAAUCAAAGAAUCGGUGACUGUGGGAUGAUCCACUCUCACGGCCCUUACGGCGAAUGCCUAGCCUUCGCUUUCCCCGAUCUCGAUGCGAAUUAUGCCGUGAAGUUGUGGAUCGAUGAGAAACAAUCGUAUGAUUUUAAAUCGAAUACUUGUGCACCAGGACAAGUAUGCGGACACUAUACUCAAGUGAUAUGGCGUAAUUCGGUACGUCUUGGUUGCGCCAGGGUUCAAUGCAACAAUGGGUGGUAUUUUAUAACGUGCAAUUACGACCCACCAGGUAAUUAUAUAGGACAACGUCCGUUAGGUGAGGUUGAAACUGAAGCUGAACAACCAUCCUACGAUUUCACGUCAGAACCUCCAACUGAUGUCUAAUUAUUAUGAGUUUACACGAUCAAACUAUGAAUGAAUGAAGUUUAUUCAUCAAUUAUUAAAGAAAUAAAAUCCUGGCCAAGUGAUGUUAUUGAUCAUACUCAGUUGGAUAAUACAAUCUAAUGGCAUAGUGAUGGGAGAAAUAUAUGUAGUCUAAAUAUUGAUGUCCCAACUCUCAUAUGGAUCGGUCCGUAUGUACCUUUGCAUCUGCAUGUUAGUUGAUUAAUCAGUAUAUGUAUGUGUUUUGUUGGUUUAUUUAGUUAUAAUGAUAUUUUUGUUGGCACUUAGUGUGAUAUGUGGUAGCUUAUAUUAUUGCUUUCGGCUCAAUUCGAGUUUACCAAAUUAAAUCUAUACUAUGUAUGAUCAUACAUUUUUUAAAAAGUUAUUUUAAACCUGAAAUAGAUUCGUCUAAUUAUUAAAAUAAAGAUUAUAAAUCUAAGUAUAAAGCAAAGAGAAAGAAUUACUAUAAAGGUAAACACCUAGUUAUGAAUCUAGAGUGUAAAUAGUUACUAUAGUAUGUACCGUUAAAAAUUUUAUAUGUGAAAUUAUAAUUUAAGUAUUUCGGUUCUUUUUUUUUUUUUUUUUUUUUUUUUUUUUUAAAAUUUUAUCGGUUUUGAAAUUUUAAAACCAAACCAUAUCAAAAAUGUAUUAGCCUUUUUCUUCAAUUCGAUUUUUCAAUUUAUCGUGAACCUCUUAGAUGUGGAAAGAGAGCCGUUAGCACAAACGCUAACUAUUGAUAACGGAUUAAGUUGCCCUCUCCUCAAUCAAUCAAUCAAUAGGGAGAGUUUUAGAAUUGUUGAUGGAGCGCUCUCUAAGAGCUGGAUUUUUAUUUAUCAUUUUUGUUAUUUUCUGGGUUUUUCUUUCUAAUUUUAAAAGUUAGAAAAUUAUAGGGAAGCCAAAAAGCAGUUCGAAUGCAAAAGAUGUUACUCUUCAUUAAAACGUUUUUCAACUUCUUAUUCAUUGUAUUUAUUGCAUGAACCCAUAAAAGAUUUUCCUAAUUUUAUUCUUCAAAAAAUUUGUAGAAAAUUAAGUAUUUUGAUUUCUCUCGAAUUUUUUUUUUGGCGUUUAAUUAAUGCCAUUUAUUAGAAUUCUUUAACUGUCAUUGUCCUUCGAACAGUCACUAUGUUCCUACUAAUUGCUUUCUGACAAUUUCCAGCUAAAUUCAUGCAUUAAUUGGUCAUUACUACUAUAAAAUGUCAUUUAUUCUUGCUUGACAGUUUUCACCUGCAUUGCAAAAUUAACUAGGCCUAAUCUCUUAUAAACAAUCCUACUUUCACCAUUUGCUUCGUUGGAGAAUCAGCCUUUUUCUUUUUUUUUUUUUUGGAACCCAAGAAAACUCGCAGCCGCUAUCAAUGGUGCGCACUGGGUAAAUCCCUCUCUGUGUAAUAGCCUGCAAACCACACAAGAGAUAUAAACAAGAGAUAUAAACUGCACUAGAUAAACCCCGUGUGAUAGGCUCAUGUCUUAAAGGCAUUGAAGGGGGAAUCGAUCCCAGGUAGCUGUGGUGGGCUACCACCCUCCAAAUCAGUGAGCCAGUCCCGAAGGACGCCUUUUUUUUCUUCUUCUUUCUUAAGAAAAAUUUUAAGCUUCAGUUUAAUUAUUUUAUUUUUAUUUGUAUGUAUAAAUGGAUAGAUGAUAAUAACGACAAUUGUAUUCUGUGGCGAAGUCAGAAUUUUCAUUGAGGGUAAGUGCACACACGAGGAGGUUCAACAUCUACUAUGUAUUCAUUCAUUGUAUGUCAUCUCCGCCACUGAUUGUAUUAACAUUUGAAUCAUUGAUAAAAUGAGGUUGUAAAUAUUUUCAUUUGCAUUGCAAUUUGCAAAAUUACCUUGGCCUUUUCUCUUGUAUACACUCCUACUUUCACUAUCUGCUUUGUUGGAGAACCAACUUUUUUUUUAAUUCUUAAGCUUCAAUUUAAUUAUUUUAUUUAAUUUGGACGUAUAGAUGAUAUAAGAACUAUUACGAUCAAAUAAUAAUAGUUGUAUCAAGUGGCGAAGUCAGAAUUUUCAUUGAAAAAAUUUAAAUGUGUGUACAUGAGGAGGUUCAAUAUCUAUUAUGUAUUCAUUCAUUGUAUGCUAUCUCGAUUGUAUCAACAUUUGAAGCAUUUAUAAAAUUAGAUUGUAAAUGUUUCUCGGCAUUAGCUUCAAGGCUAUUUUAAGGCAGUUCACAUAAUUAGAAGAUGAAAGGGACAAAUUGAAGACCUGAAGCAGAUUGUCAGGAAGAUCAACGUAACUUAUAUUUAUCUGACUUAAUUUUUUUAGCACUUUCUUAAUUCAUCGUCUUUGCUCAAUUUUUUUUGGUUAUUCUAUUCUGACCUUUUUUUAAAAAAAAUUCAUUCGUUAGCUGUAAUUACUUUUAUUGAAUAUAUUUAUGAUUAAAUCAAUAGAUCUUUAACAAUUUUUCAUAGCAAUAAUAACUAAUCAAUGAAUAUUUAUUUAAUUUUAAAUAUUUUAGAAUGAUAAAUUUGGAAAAGGUUAUAAAAAAAAAAUUAUUCGCUCUUUAUAAAUGUCAUCAAUAUGCUCUUUUUUAUUUUGAUAUGUCUUUGAAAUUUGCUUGAUUUUCUUUUUCUUUUUUUCCUUUUCAUGUCGAUUGUUGUCCUAAAAUGUUGUCAUGUCCAAUUGAAAUAUAUAGUCCUUUCUCUCAAUAUGGUACUUGUAUUUUUUUUCCAUUGGAAUAUAAUUAUCUUUUAUUAUUUGAAAAAUUAUAAGGAAUAAUUUUCUUUGUUCUAAAACUGUGGUAAAUAUUUUAGUAUGAAAAUAUCGGUCAACACUCAACACAUAGUGAGCCAAGUAUCUAUCUACUCUCAGACGGAAGUGAUUUAAUCACCUUAUUUUUUCCCCAACUAAUCCUAAUUUUAUAUCAUUUGUUAGGUGCUCUGAUCCUCUUAUUUAAUUAAGAUUGAAUUAUUUUUAAUAUUUUUUAGUUUCCACAAAAAAAUACUUAUAAAAUCAUUUUUAAUGUUCAUGCAUUAACAACGACAAUUAUUCAUAAAUUUAACAGGUUUUAUAUGAUUGUGUAAAGCGCAAUUAAGUUACCUAGUUAUUGAAUAAAUAUAUUUGAGUGAAGCAUAUUUUUCAUUGAAAGGGGAAUAAUUCUAGGUGAAAAUUAUUUUCCUUAUAGCUAUUUUAAUUUUAAAUUUUGAGCACUAUUGCUAACGUCAACAUUCAAAUUAAACAUCAUUUGGACGUUAUUGUCAAAAUGCAAUAUCUAAAAUUCUCAUCGUAAUACUUUCCAAUUUGCUAAUAUUAUUAUUAAAAUCCUAAAAAAUUACAACGAUGCAAUAUUUUAGUAAAAUUUGUAAAUAUUAGCAGCAAUGGUUAAGUUAAUAAUUUAUCUGAUUAUUUACAGCAAAAAAAAAAAACAACUUAAUUAACAAACUGUGGCAGCUAAAUAUUUGACCUCCAUAACAUAAUUCUUCUAUCAAAUGAAUCCAACGAUAUAUUCUUUCCUACUUUCCCCUAAAAAUUAUCUCCCAUAAUUAAGUAACAAACAAAUCCAAUCAAUCCGAUAAUCACGCUUAAUUAAGCUCUCAAUUCGUACUCAAACCUUCCAUAUUUUCUCUCUCAAUAAUUGACUUCCUGGAUAAUUAUGGUGUGUUGCAGAUUUAAUAAGAAAUAUUAAAUUAUAUAAGAAUUAUAUUAAUUAAAUUAAUUGUAUAUCAAUAAAAUAAUUUUAAUAUAUUGAGAAUUUGUUAGAAAUAUUUAAUUAUAUAAAUUGUUUGGUAAUAUAAUGGUACAAUUUAUAUGUGUGUGUCUUAAUGUAAUUGUAUAAAAGGUACAACGGUGAAAUUAAUUAUAUAUUCCGUAAUAAUCCGAGUAUAUUUUAAAUUUAAUAAGGAAUAGCUAAUUAAACAAAUCGUAUAAUUCAUAAAGAGUCCGUUUUUUCAAGACAAGAAAUCGACGACAUCCAUAGUAGAUAAAAUAGAUCGAGGAUACCUACUUCAAUCAUUGACAUUUUAAAUUAAUGGAUUCGUUAUAACAAUAUUUCAUAAUAGAUAUAUAUGUUUCAAUAAUUAUAAAAAGGUUAAAUUUAAUUAUGACGAUCAUUCAUUAUAACAAUUUCAUUUUCUAUCUAAUUGAUUUUUCAUGUUAUAUUUUAUUUAUCUAUGACAACAACAUUCUUGUUAUAACAAUAAUAAUAUUCAUUAUAACAGUAUGCUAGCUUUUUGUAAUAGAUGGAUUUGGCUCCUCUACAUUUUUAUUCUCUCCAUUUUUUUUCAAGUUUCUAUUGAAUGGGUAAAAUCUAAUUAUUCUAAAAUACAACUCUAAUUAUAGUUUAGAUAAUAAAUACAUUAUAUAUUUAGUUUAAAAAAAUAUUUUGAUCCCACAUUCUUACAAAUAUGUUCAUAAAUAACGCAACAAAAAAAAUUCUCUUCCUACGCAAGAAUUCCAUCUUUUAAUUUAUUUGUCAAUUAAUUUUUUUUAUUUUCUAUUUUUUUUUGUAACUUUUUGUUUAAUAAUUAUCUUUUUUUUUUUAAAAGUGGGUGAAAUAAAGUAGGAGAAAUAAUCGGCUCUUCUAUUUUAAAUUAACUUUUUAUCACUUUUUGGAACCUUUUUUUUUUAAAUUAGAUAUUUUAAUUUCUUUGAAAUAAGUGAAAUAAAAUAGGGGAAAAUGAGAGAAAUCUCUCGUAAUCUAAAUUAAUUUUUUUAUUGUUUUAUUUUUUCAAAAAUAUUUUUUUCUUUAACAAUCAUCUGUUUUAUUUUCUUUAAAAUGAGGGAAAUAAAUAAGGGGAACAUAGGUGAAAUAAAGUAGGAGAACUUAUCCGCUCUCCUAUUUUAUUUCGUCUAUUUUAAAGAAAAUAAAUAGCUAGUAAUUAUUAAGGAGGAAGUUCCAAAAUGCGAUAAAAAGUUUAAUUUAAAUAGAAAUUAAAAGUUGGACCAUGAGUAUGAAAAAAAAUUAGGAAGAAAAGAAUUUUUGAUGCUAUAUAAAAAAAAUUAGGAAGAAAAGAAUUUUUGUUGCUAUAUUUAUGGACAUGAUAAUAUGUUGCUAAAAUUGUGGGAUUACAAUAAUUUUUUAAACUAAAUAUAUAAUGUAUUUAUUAUCUAAAUCAUGAUUAGAGAUUUAUUUAGAAUAGUUAAAUCUUAUCCAUUCAAUUUAAACUAUGUCAUAUAUAUGCCACUAAUCAAGAUAAGAACUUGAAAAAAAUAGAAAGAGUGAAAAUGAAGAGGAGUCGGAUCCGUAAUAGAUGACCCUUCUGUAACAAUCAUACUUAAAUUUAUGUAGCAAUAUUUUAAAAGAAAUAUAUUAAAUAUAAAAUAAAAUAUUAAAAUGUUUGUAAUAAUCAUUAUUAAUAUCAUGAAUAUAGAAAAAUUUCAAAUAUGAUUAUCGUCUAAAAGGAAAAGUACUGUAUCAAAAUAGUGUUCAUUAAUUAUGGAACAACUAGUUUUGAAUUUAUUAUUUAUGUCUUAGUCUUUUCAAUUUUUUAUUAACGAAUUAUGGAAAUUAAUCGAGAAUAUAAAUUUAAAAAGUAUUUAAUUUUUAUUUAUAACAUAACACGUAUAAAAUCUAAUUUACAUAUUUUUAUUUGUAAUAGCUAAAUAAAAUUUAAAUGUCAAUUUAUAUUUAUAACAUCAACUCACUGAUAUUAUAGCAAUUAUGACACUUUCGUACAAAUAUUAUUACUAUAAAAAAAUUUAAUAAUAUAUUAAUCAUUGAUUUGAUGUAAACACCUUAGAAAGUUAAUUUUGUCACAUCUUAUUAGCUAGCUCAGUUUUCUUGCUUCAACUAUGUCAUGUAAGAUUUACGUUAUCCAAGCUUAGACAUAGUAUAUAAGAAGCUAUUUGAAUUGAUUUAUUUUUAAGUGUUUUGAAUUUUUAAAUAUUAUUUUAUUUUUAAAUAUAUUUGACAAAAACAAAAAGAAUUUUUAAAUAUUUACUUUUGUACUUAAAAAAUAUAUAAAAAAAAAACAAAAAUUAAAAAUAAACCACCAUCUACUUUUUAACUUUUGACUUUUAGCAACACCCUCUGACUUUAAUGGGUUCCUGAAAAUUAUUUUCCAAGUCAAUGCAAAAAAAAAUAUAUAGUGUUCAAAGAAUAAAAUGAAAGAAAAUAAUGAUUUAUUGGAGUUGUUCCGAGAAAAUGGUCUAAAAUUCCUCAAAUCUAUACUCAAAAUUUCAACUACACAUUUCAUCUUUAGGGAAUUUCUAUGACCCCCCUGAUCUAUUUAAAAUUGAAAUUAUUACUCCCUUAAAAACUCACAAUCACAUAUGUAUUGGGAAGUGAUUAUCACGCUGUCCACGUAAUGCCACAUAAUAUUACCACCUAAUAUUUUAUUUUUAUUAUAAAAAAUUAAUUAUUUUACUUUUUCUUUUAAUAUUUUCCUUUUUCAUUCUCCUUUCUCUUUUCUUUUUUCUUUAUCUGUAAAUUUUUCACCUUUCAUUUUUUGAACGAUCGGAGAGGCAACAAGAUGGUGAAGAAAAUGACUGCAAAUAAAUAUUACGUGAAUUUCAAGCCAUAGGUUCCGAAUCAAAUCUAAACUGAUCAAAGAAAAAUCUACAAUAAUCUUUCUUCUUAAUUUGGAAUUGAAAAUGAAAAAGUAUAUCUUGUUAAUUUUAUUUUAGAUUUGCUUAAUUUUAGAGUCGAAAUGAGGAGUUAAAAAGUUGGAAUAAGCGUCGGAGAUCGAAUAAAUUGUUGUUGUUGUUGUUAAUUUUGCAAAGGAAACUCUUUCUUUCUCUCUCGUUUUUUCUUUUAUUUUUUUGCUUCAAGAAAAUUUAGUGCUUUAGGCUUAUUGGUGUGAAUUUUUUCUAAGAAAAGAGAACGAAUCUCAUCAACUCUAUUUUCAUUUUUUUUUUUUGUAACUUUGUAUCAUUUUUCAUGGAAUUUUGAAUUUUCUGUUUAAAAUGAAAUAAAUAGAUUUUUUUGUGGAUUUUAUAUUUGGGCACAUCCAUGAAUUAAAUAGAGAAAGAUGAAGAAGAAAAUGAAUUGGAGAUGAGAAAUUAAUCUUGGACACCAUUGAUGAGUUCUUGAACCUUUUUGUUUUGAGAAAGAGAAGCAGAAGAAGAAACAAAACGUAUAAGGCAAAAAAACCUUUUUGUUUUGAAUCUUUUUGAAGAAAAUUAUUAACCCUAAAGCUUUAAUUUAGAAUUUGAAAAUUUUAAAUGGUAGACAACAAAAUUCAAACUUCAAGCUUUGAAAAUGACAAAAAAAAAAAAGGAAAAAGAUGGAGGAUUUAAUGGCUAAGAAAUGAGGAUUUUUUAAAAAGAAAAUUAAAAAAAAAAAAAUUACACAUGGCUUAAUAAAUGCAGAUUUGUGUACUUUAGACAAGUUUCACGGGCCUAAGGAAAGUGUAUACACCUUCUUGGAUAGGUCAGCAUUUUAGGAUCACAAAAUAUCAAAAAUAAAGGUUCAAAGGGAUAAUAGGAUUUUUUAUAAAAGGUUCAAAGAGGCAAUAAAACUUUUAUAAAAUUUGAGCGUGUAGUUGAAAUUUCAGAUAAAAAUUGAAGGGGUCAUGGACAAUUUUGUCGAGUUGUUCCAGCAAUCACGUAUUAUCGAGAAUGACUAGUCUUCACCAACCCCCCCCCCCCCCCCCCAAAAAAAAAAAAAAAGAGAAUGACUAUUGACUAGUCACCACUCACCAGUGACAGUACUUGAUUAUCACUUCAACAAAUAGUUGCAUAAUGUGACAUGACAUUCAUAUGAACUAUGUUAACAAUUUAUAUUUUGUCGUUUUAAUUUUUCUUAUUGACCUGAUUUUAAUUUGAUAUAAUUUUUUUUUUUAAAAAAAAUAAUUUUAUAAUGCUAAACUAGAAAUAUGAAUAAUGUAUUAAAAUAUCUUUUGACCUUGUGAUCUUAAAUAUAUCAUAUAAAAAUUAAAAAAAAUUUAAAAGUUGUUGAAAAAAAAAAGAACUUUUUAAAAUAAACUAUCAAGGAAAUUACUACAAACAAAUUGAAAUUGAGAGAAACUAAACUAUCAAUUAUAUUCAAUCCCUUUCACAAAUUGUAGACUAUUUGACUCUUCUUCCCUAUAUAAAACCCACCCAAAUUAUUCCUUGAUUCUCAUCAAUACUCAUAAUGGGACUCUUCAAUUCCUUAAUUGUUUGUUUUCUAAUUACCUUUUCUAUAUUUCACUCAUCACAAGCUCAAGAUUCUCCUCAAGAUUAUCUUAACGCUCACAAUGAAGCUCGUAGACAAAUUGGGGUCGGCUCUAUGACAUGGGACAAUAAGCUAGAGGCCUUUGCCCAAAAUUAUGCCAAUAAAAGAAUUGGGGAUUGCCGGAUGCAGCACUCCAGUGGCCCUUACGGCGAAAACCUAGCUGUUGGCUACCCUCAGCUCCAUGCUGCUGGUGCCGUGAAAAUGUGGGUCAAUGAGAAUCAAUGGUACAAUUAUAAUACAAAUACUUGUGCACCAGAAAAAGUAUGUGGACACUAUACUCAGGUUGUGUGGCAAAACUCGGUACGUCUUGGUUGUGCUAGGGUACGUUGCAACAACGGAUCGUAUUUUAUAAUUUGCAAUUAUGAUCCACCAGGUAACUGGAGAGGAAAACGUCCCUAUGGUGAUCUUGAAGAACAACAACUGGCCUUUGAUUCCAAGUUGGAACUUCCCAGUGAUGUCUAAGAGUAAAUAAAAUCAUGAAUAAUGCUUAAUUCACGUGUUAAUGAAAAUAAAACCCAGUACUAUUUGCUAUAUAUGUUGGAUGUUAUCUUACUAGCUCAGUUGGAUAAUUAUCCAAUGGUGCAGAUCUAGUGACUGGUUAACCUAGGGGAAAUAUGUUGUCUACAUUGAUAUUCAUAUGGACCCUUGCAUGUUGUUUAAUUUAAUCCAAUCACUUUAUAUAUGAGUAUUUUGUCUACUUUAUUUUAUUCAUGUUCCUAUUUUACAACUUUGGCACUAUGGGGUGUGGGUUGUAUUUUCUAGUUUAAAUCUAUAUACGGACAAUAUACUAUUUUUUUACACACUAUUAAUUAAGUCAUCAAGAAAUAAUUCAUAACAACAAAUAAAUUAAUAUAACCUCGAAAAUCUGCUACAACAUCUGAGCAUGUUAAAUACUCUGAUAAAUUAAAAUUAUUUUUUCGUACACUAACAUAAUGUGUGCAAGUUAAAUAGGUAAUUUUGACCGUUGUACUAAUUCACAAGCCUAUUUUUGUUAAUUGUUUUAUAUACAUUUCUAAGUGUUCUAUCUUGAUAUGAUAUAAUAUUUUUUGGACCGCUACUCCUACUUUUCGGGUGUGCAUGGUGUAAACGCAACAACAACAACAACAAAUCCAGUGUAUUCUCAUAAAGUGAGGUCUAGGGAGGGUAAAAUGUACGUAGUCCAUGUCACUACCUCCGAAGAAGUAGAGAGGCUGUUUCCGAUAGACCCUCGGCUUAGGCUAAAGAAUAGUACACAAGGUCGUAGUGAAACAUGAAGCAGGAUGGAUGACAUAACGUAAAUAAGGAAUAAGCAAUAAUAAAAUAGAUAUCAUAGAUAUAUGAAAUAAGAGAAAUAUGAGUAAUUGAAAAAAAGAAAAAAGAGAUAGGACACCCACCUUGUAGUAAUACACACCCACAGACCAAAGACACCAACCACACAAACCCUACUAACUAGGGGCUCCUACUAAUGGACACAAUCCUAUGCUUACUAACCCAGUUACACAAGAUCUCUACUAACAUCUUGCUACAACCCACACACUCACAAUAGCCUUCUAUCCUUAUCCGCAACCUCCACAGCUUCCUAUCUAGGGUCAUGUCCUCAGUAAGCUGAAGCUGCUCCAUGUCAUGUCUAAUUAUCUAUCUCCAGUAUUUUUUCGGCCUACCUCUACUCCUUAUAAAGUCAUCAAAAGCUAACCUCUCGCAUCUACGAACUGGGGCAUCCGUGCCCCUCCUCAUCACAUGUCCAAACUAUUUCAGCCUUUCUUCUCGCAACUUGUCCUCCACUGAAGCCACUCCCAUCUUCUCCCUGAUAGUCUCAUUCCUAACUUUAUCCCCUCUAGUAAGUCCACACAUCCAACACAACAUUCUCAUUUUCGCCACCAUCAAUCGUUGAAUGUGGGAGUUUUUGACUGGCAAACACUCCGCUCCAUAUAGCAUGGCCGGCCGGACUGCCACUCUGUAGAAUUUGCCUUUAAGCUUAAGGGGAACCUUCUUAUCGUACAACACCCUUCAUCCAACCUGCUCUAAUACGUUUAGAGACAUCCUCAUUAAUCUUGCCAUUCCCCUGAAUUAUAGAUCCAAGAUACUUAAAACUAUCUCUCUUACAAAUAUUCUAGAAUCCAACCUCUCCACCACUUCUUCCUUCUGACUCGAGUCACUAAACUUGCAUUCCAUAUAUUCCGUCUUCGACCUACUCAACCUAAAAUCCUCAAAUUCAAGGGUUUGUCUCCAAACCUUCAGUCUUUUAUUCACACCUUUCCGUGUCUCAUCAAUCAACACUACAUCAUCUGCAAAUAACAUACACCAAGGCACCUCACCUUGAAUACUCCGCAUCAAUACGUUCAUCACCAAAGCAAACAAAAACGGGCUAAGAGUCGAUCCCUUAUGCAAUCCUAUCUCGAUCGAAAAAUGCCCUGAGUCUUCUCCUAGCGUCCUCACUCAGGUCUUUCCUCUAUCAUACAUGUCAUUAAUAGCUAUGAUGUACGCCAUCGGGAUCUCUCUCACCUCCAAGCCUCUCCAAAGAACCUCCUUAAGGACUUCGUCAUACGCUUUCUCCAGGUCAAUGAACACCAUGUGCAAAUCCCUCUUCCUCUUCCUAUACUGCUCCACAAUCUCCUCACCAGGUGGAUUGCCUCUGUCGUUGAGUAACCAAGCAUAAAACCAAACUGGUUCUCUAAAAUAGACACGAACCUCGUCAAUCACCGCUCAACCAGCCUAUCCCAAAUUUUCAUAGUGUGACUCAAUUGUUUAAUACCCAUAUAGUUGUUGCAACUCUGAAUCUGACCAUUGUUUUUAUAUAACGGAAUCAUCGUACUCCAUCUCCAAGCCUCAGGCAUUCUCGUAGUCUUGAAAAUGUCAUUAAACAAAUCAGUCAGCCACCUUAAACCUGCUACACCUGUAUAUACUUCCAAAAAUCCAUCGAUAUCUCGUCAGGCCCCGUUGCUCUACCCCUCCGCAUCCUACGAAUAGCCUCUCUGACCUCCUCAACCUUAAAACAUCUAUAGUAACUGAAGUCACGGCUCCCCUUCGAGCGCUCCAUCUCCCCUAACUCAAUGCCUCUGUUUCUCUUCUCAUUCAAAAGUCUAUGAAAAUACUUCUGCCACCUCUUCUUAAUGUGAACAUCCUCCACCAAAACUCUACCAUCCUCUCCUUUAAUGCACUUCACUUGAUCGAGGUCACGACCUUUCCUCUCCCUAGCCUUAGCUAGCCUAUACAACCUUUUUCCCCCUCCUUUCUCUUUUAACCCCGCAUACAAGCACUCAAACGUUGCUGUCUUAGUAGUCGUAACUGCUACUUUAGGCUUCUUUCGUGCUACUUUUUAAACCUCCCUACUCAUCCGCUUCUCCUCUUCAUCUUUACUCUCAAUCAACUUAACAUACGCCCCCUUCUUAAUCUCCACUUUCUUCUUAACUUCUUCAUUCCACCACCAGUCCCCCAUAUACCGACCUGCCCGACCCUUCGAAAUACCCAACACCUCUCUAGCCGUCUUCGUGAUGCAACUGGCAGCCUUAUCCCUCAUACCAUCCACGUCCCCCAUUCUUGCCAACUUCUCCCCUAUCUCCUAUGCACUAACCGACGUCAAGCUACCCCACCUAAUUCUGGUUUGACCCUCUUUGGCUCUACUCUUCCUGCUCCUCUUAAUAAUCAAGUCCAUCACUAAAAGUCUCUGCUGGGUCGAAAGGUGCUCACUUGAAAUGACUUUACAGUCCUUACACAAAACCCUAUCUUCUUCCCUAAGCAGCAGAAAGUUAAUCUGAGUCUUGGCUAACGCGCUUCCGAAGGUAAUUAGAUGAUCCUCCUUCUUCGGAAAGCUCGAAUUCACAACCACCAGCCCAAAAGCCCUCGCAAAAUCCAACAGAGGAACCCCCUUACCAUUUCUAUCGCUUAAACCAAAACCUUCAUGCACAUCGUCAUAACCUCGUAACACCCCAACACGGUGUAAAUGCAGUGUUGUACGAUAACUUUCAAAACACACAGGAAAUAUAAAGAGCACAUGUACACUAAAUAAGUCUGAUGCGAUGAGCUAACUGCGUUGGUGGGUAAUUGAUCCCUUGACUGGCCCCCCUAAUAGAUAGGAUACAUACAUACAUACAUAUAUAUAUAUAUAAAUAAUUAUUAUAUUAUAAUAUUAUAAUAUAUUAAAAGUGUAAAUACCCUUAGAAAAGUGAUUUGAACUUUUUGUCCUUCAUUAAAAGACUUUCCUUUAGACAAAACUGUCUUUUCACUAUUUUUUAAUUUAUUAUUUAAUUAUUUUUUACUAUAUUAACUAGACUUCCUAAAACAUAUGGGGACUCCUAAAACAUAUGGUAGGAGAAUUAAUUAAUAUUUUUCUUUCUACCAGACUUCCUAAAUUAUAUGGGACUCCUUAAAUAUAUAGUAAGAGAAUUGAUUAAUAUUUUUCUUUCUACUGUUCAAUUAGAAAAAUACUCCUAAAAUAGUACUCUAUUAAGGAAAUACUUCUAAAAAUAUUGAGAUGUACGUUAAACUAGAAAACAAACUGAUUAUCCCAUUGGGAGAAUAUAAUUGAUGUUCAUCUAACUUGAUUCGAUUGCAUGUCUAGAUUAGUGGAUUCUUGAUUUUCUAACCCCCAACUUCUUCACUAUUUUUGUCAGUAUAAUAAAAUUCAACAUGUGUGUAUAUAUACAUCUUCUCUUUUUUCAUUCAAAAUUAUUCUUUCGGGUCAAAAUUUUAGCUCAGACAAGAAUUAGUUGGAUCAAAAUCGAAGUUUUGUAAUCACUAUUAUAUAUAUAUUUUUUAUAGUUUACAGGUUGUUGGUUGGCUUUCAAAAAUUUCUUGUGUAAAGGUUAUGUUUAAUUGUAUUGUUUUGAUAUCUUUAUUAUCUUAUUGUUUUAUUUUAAUUUACAAAUGCUAGAUCACUACUAAAAAAAAAGAGGAAAUCCGACCACAAAAACCUACUACAAGUGGUCAGUUUUUCUCAUUUUCCGACCACAAAACCGACCAAAAUUUUUGAUCGAAAAAGUAGUGGUAGCUUUUUUAAAAACCGACCACAAGUGGUAGGUUUUUUAAAAAUAUAUAUAUUCAUUUUAAAAAUUUAUUAUUAUUUUAUUUAAAUGAAAAAAAAAAUUUAGGAAAAAAUAAACCGACCACAAUUGGUCAAUGUUUUGCAAAGAAAAAUAUNNNNNNNNNNNNNNNNNNNNNNNNNNNNNNNNNNNNNNNNNNNNNNNNNNNNNNNNNNNNNNNNNNNNNNNNNNNNNNNNNNNNNNNNNNNNNNNNNNNNNNNNNNNNNNNNNNNNNNNNNNNNNNNNNNNNNNNNNNNNNNNNNNNNNNNNNNNNNNNNNNNNNNNNNNNNNNNNNNNNNNNNNNNNNNNNNNNNNNNNNNNNNNNNNNNNNNNNNNNNNNNNNNNNNNNNNNNNNUAUAUAUAUAUAUAUAUAUAUAUAUAUAGAAAAAUCGACCACUUAUGUUCAGUUUUUUUGGGAAUUUAAAAAAAUAAUAAAAUUGAAAACCCAAAUACUGCAUGCAACCACAACAGAUAUAUAGAGCAGUAACCAAAAUGAAAAUACAACAACAAAAAAAAAAUAGAAAUUUUCAAAAGUGUACAACACAUACAAAAUAACCAACAAAAGUGAAUAUGAAAAUACUACAACAAUAGUUUCAAACAACAAAAUGUCUAAAUUUAAAGUACAAGACAUACAAAAAUCACAAACUAACAGUCAUCAUCAUUGAAUUCGUCCUCGUCUUCCAUAUCAUCAUCCGUGCUGAAAUCAUCCAGGGGGCCUAGACCUUUUGCAGCCCGAAUUGCAUCACCAGGACAGGAGGAAUAACCCCCCAGUCUGAAUGAAAGAACUGAACUGCUGAUGCAGGAUCCUGAUUUGUGAUGCCGUUGCCUCCUCCGUCUUCUUCUGCCUCACACUCUGUUCAACAUAACUCUGUCUCUGUUUAGCAAGCUCUCUGGUGAGUUGAGAAAUCGUAUUUUGUAGUCUUACAAUGGUUUCUGCAUCAACCGAAGAGAUAGAGUAUGCAGGGCCGGACGAACUCCUAAUAUUAUCGCCAAAAUAUUCAGUGUGGCAUCCGUAGAAAUGUCCUCUAUUUGCAAGACCUGAAGCUUUUGUCCAUACCUCAUUCCGUAAUGCUGGGGUAUUGGGUCACCCUGACUUUCAGGAGGCAAACUACUACGAUACUCACUAAGAAGACGCCUAAAUUCGUCCUAUAUAUAUUCAAGGUAAAUUUAAUACUAACAGUAAAAAAUACUAAAAUUGUUAUAGUUGAAUAAUAUCAACUUUGAGAAAAAAAUUCAUAAAUACAAAAUUUAUUUCUUACGUGGAUAAACUUUGCACGAGGUUCAACCCAGACAUCUUCAUCAUUCGGGUUCAAUUUCUUUCUCAGAUGAGUCACCUCGAAAACCUCACCAGUUGCUAGUUUCCUACCCAUUUCUUUUUUCUGCAUAUGAAAAAAUUAUCAAUGUUCAAAUAAUAAAAAAAAUUAAAUAGAAAUAAAGAAUUAAACUGCAAAAGUUACAUACCAAUUUUUCUUUCACUGCAAGAGUACUUCUAGCACCUGUAGUAUGUAGGGAACCACCCUUGGAUGAUGCCCGGACUCCCUUUCCUUUUUCCCUCAACAAUUGGUAUUCUGGGCUAUUCCAGUGGCGCUGAUACAGUGGCCAUAAGGGUUCAGGAAUCCACUUAGGUUUUACUGAUUUCUUUCGAGCAUAGUCCAAUAGAUCUUUAAAUCUGCCUCUACAUCUUUUAAAAAAGUUCCUCUUUAUAAGAAAUUCAUUUGCAGCAUCCCACCAGUAAAAUCUCUACAACCAAAAUAUAAUAUUCAAUCUUGUGUUCUCACAAAUUGUUAAUAAGUAAGCGAUAAGUUAAAUCCUUACCUUAAAUUCUUCUAACAUUCUAUCCCUGUCAAGUUCUGGAACCUUUUGACAGCUGAUCCAGUAGCCGUUGAAGUGCUGACUAAUGCAUAUUCGCGCCGUUUUUCCAACUCCAGCAUCCGGCUUAAACCUACAACACAAGAUCAAACGAUAAUUUCAUCGGGAACAAUAAAAUAGUAAUGGAGAAAAUGAGUAACGUUAUUAUAUUUAGAAAUCUUACCCUCUCGCAACUGGAACCAUAUAAAUCCUUGCAGAAUCAUCUCUGUCACCUAACUGCCUAAUAAGCGAUGAUGAAUGCACUGGCAUAUGAAAAUAUUUUAAAACUGUGGUAAAUAUUUUAAUAUCAAAAUAUCGUCCUAAACAUAGUAAGCCAAGUAUUUAUUCUCAGGCGGAGGUGAUUUAAUCACCUUAUUUUUUUUUCCCAACUAAUCCUAAUUUUAUAUCAUUUGUUAGGUGUUAUGAUCCUCUUAUUUAAUUAAGAUUGAAUUAUUUUUAACAUUUUUUUGUUUUCGCAAAAAAAUACUUUUAAAAUCAUUUUUAAUGUUCAUGUAUUAACAACAAUUAUUCAUAAAUUUAACAAGUUUUAUAUGAUCGUGCAAAGAGCGAUUAAGUUACCUAGUUAUUGAAUAAAUAUAUUUGAGUGAAGCAUAUUUUUCAUUGAAAGAGAAAUAAUUCUAGGUGAAAAUUAUUUUCCUUAUAGCUAUUUUAAUUUUAAAUUUCGACCACUAUUGCUAACGUCAACAUUCAAAUUAAACAUCAUUUGGAUGUUAUUGUCAAAAUGUAAUAUCUAAAAUUCUCAUCGUAAUACUUUCCAAUUUGCUAAUAUUAUUAUCAAUUCUAAAAAAUUACAACGAUGCAAUAUUUUAGUAAAAGUUAUAAAUAUUAGCAGCAUUGGUUAAGUUAAUAAUUUAUCUGAUUAUUUACGGCAAAAAAAAAAAAAACUUAAUUAACAAACUGUGGCAGCUAAAUAUUUGCCCUCCAUAACAUAAUUCUUCUAUCAAAUGAAUCCAACGAUAUAUUCUUUCCUACUUUUCCCUAAUAAUUAUCUCCCAUAAUUAAGUAACAAACUAAUCCAAUCAAUCCGAUAAUCAUGCUUAAUUAAGCUCUCAAUUGGUACUCAAACCUUCCAUAUUUUCUCUCUCAAUAAUUGACUUCCUGGAUAAUUAUGGUGUGUUGCAGAUUUAAUUAGAAAUAUUAAAUUUUAUAAGAAUUAUAUUUAUUGAAUUAAUUAUAUAUUAAUAAAAUAUAUAGAAAAUUUAUUAGAAAUAUUUAAUUAUAUAAAUUGUUUGGUAAUAUAAUGGUACAAUUUAUAUUUGUGUGUCUUAAUGUAAUUGUAUAAAAGGUACAACAAUGGAAUUAAUUAUAUAUUUCGUAAUAAUCCGAGUAUAUUUCAAAUUUAAUAAGGAAUAGCUAAUUAAACAAAUCGUAUAAUUCAGAAAGAGUAUGUUUUUUCAAGAUAAGAAAUCAACGACAUCCAUAGUAGAUAAAAUAGAUCGAGGAUACCUACUUCAAUCAUUGACAUUUCAAAUUAAUGGAUUCGUUACAACAACAUUUCAUAAUAGAUAUAUAUGUUUCAAUAAUUAUAAAACGGUUAAAUUUAAUUAUGACGAUCAUUCAUUAUAACAAUUUCAUUUUCUCUCUAAUUGAUUUUUCAUGUUAUAUUUUAUUUAUCUGUGACAACAACAUUCUUCUUAUAACAAUAAUAAUAUUCAUUAUAACAGUAUGCUAGCCUUUUGUAAUAGAUGACCCUUCUAUAAAAAACAUACUCAAAUUUAUGUAACAAUAUUUUAAAAGAAAUAUAUUAUAUAUAAAAUAAAAUAUUAAAAUAUUAAAAUAUUUAUGAUAAUCAUCAUUAAUAUAAUGAAUAUAAAAUAAUUUCAAAUAUGAAUAUUGUUUAAAAGGAAAAAUACUGUAUCUAAAUAGUGUCCAUUAAUUAGGGAACAACUACUUUUGAAUUUAUUUAUGCCUUGUCUUUUCAAAUUUUUAUUAAUGAAUUAUGGAAAUCAAUCGAGAAUAUAAAUUUAACAAGUAUUUAAUAUUUAUUUAUAACAUAACAAGUAUAAAAUCUAAUUUGCAUAGUUUUAUGUAUAAAAGCUAAAUAAAAUUUAAAUGUCAAAUGUCAAUUUAUAUUUAUAAUAUCAACUCACUAAUCAUUAUAACAAUUAUAACACUUUCGGGCAAACAUUAUCACUAUAGAAAAAUUUAAUAAUAUAUUAGUCAUUGAUUUGCUGUAAGGCAGAUAAUUUUGUCACACAUCUUGUUAGCUAGCUCAAUUUGAAUUAAUACAUAAAAAUGACCCUAAACUUGAUACCAAAUUAUAAUUUUGAUCUUAAACUUUGAUAGUGCACAAAUAAGAUCUUUAACUAUUCAAAAUCUGAACAAAUAUGACCUCCGAUUUUACAACCCCUUGUGUGAGUCUCACUCGCGCCUACGUGGAAAGGUAAUCCAAUCACACGGUGCCACAUCGUUAAAAGGCUCACUUGGAGAGAGGUCAUAUUUGUGCAAUUUUAAAUAGUUAAAGGUCAUAUUUGUGCACUAUCAAAGUUUUGCUUUUUGUGUUAAAACGACGUCGUUUUUUUUAUUAUUAAUAUAAUAAUUUUUUUAUUUAUUUCUAUAGAAGCAGCACCUAACUUUUUUUAUUUUAAAAAAUUAUUAUUAUUAUUAUUAUUAUUUUAUUUAUUUCUAUAGCAGCAGCACCUAGCUUUUUUUUAAUUAAAAAAAAACAGCCACUAGCAGGUAUCGAACCCGCACAGUAGGCUAAAGGAAGCUUCCAAGAAGAGCAAAUAAUACCACUAGGCUAUCUAAGCGUCUUGUUUCAUAUGGUUCAACAUUAAUAUACGUACAUAAAUAUACAUUUUCUAUCUUAUAUAUAUACAACGUAAUUUUUUUACCGAGGGGGUUCGGGUGAACCUCAUGGCAACCAUGUAGGUCCGCCCCUCGUUAAUUUAAUAACGUUAAGUUAAUAACAUCGUUUAAUUAUGUUUAUUUGAUAACGUUAAUUUAAUAUACUACUAUUACUAUCCUUGAUAACAUUAAUUUAAUAAUGUUUUAUUAAAACUAUUUUUUUUUUUAUUAUUGGUAUAGUUUCAUCUUUAAUUUAAUAUUUAAAUUAAUAAUAUUUAAAUAUAUUAUAUAACUUAAAUUCGUCUUCUGCUUUAUAAUAUAUUUACAUACCCACUCAAUUUUUUCGUAGGCUGACCCGCCUAAUUAAUAAAUCUUCAAUAUUGCUCUUUUUCCGCAAUGACAAAAGAAAUUAGAUGUCAUUUUCAUCUUUGAGCCGAAAAUAAUGAAAAAAUAAUAGUGAAGAGUCAUUUAAUGGUUAUAUUUGUGCAGUUUUGAAUAGUUAAAUGUCAUAUUUGUGCACUGUCAAAGUUUAGGGUCAUAUUUAUGUAUUAUGCCCUUAGAUUUUAAGCUGGACGCGUUCAAUUUUGCGUGUUGAACACGCGUUUUGCCACGUAGGAUUGGAGGUCAUAUUUGUGUAGUUUUAAAUAGUUAAAGGUCAUGUUUGUGCACUGUCAAAGUUUAAGGUCAAAGUUAUAAUUUGGUGUCAAGUUUAAGAUUAUUUUUAUGUAUUAACUCGUUCAGUUUUCUUGCUUCAACUAUGACAUGUAAGAUUUAUGUUAUCCAAGCUUAGACAUAUAUAAGAAGGUGUUUGAAUUGAUUUAUUUUUAAGUAUUUUAGGUCUUUAAAUAUUUUUUAUUUUUAAAAGUGUUUGACAAAAAUAAAAAAUAUUUUUGAGCAUUUUAUUUUGUAACUAAAAAAUAUUAAAUAAGUCCAAAAUUAAAAACAAAUCACUAUCUACUUUUAACUUUUGGCCUUUAAGUUACUAAAAAAAAAAACGAAUUAUCGAAACAUCCUCCAACUUUAAUGAGUUUGUGAAAAUUCAUUUCCAAGUCAGCGAAAAAAAAAUAUAUUGUGUCCAAAGAAUAAAACGAAAGGGCUGCUAAUGAAAAAUAAUGAUUUAUUAAAGUUGUUCCAGCAAUCACGUAUCAUCGAGAAUGACUAGUCACCACUCACCAGUGACAGUUUUCCCUUCAACAAAUAGUUGCAUGAUAUGACAUGACAUUCAUAUGAACUAUGUUAACAAUUUAUAUUCUUUUCCUCCUUCAACUUGUCCUCCAAAUUAUUUUAGUAUUUAAAUUUAAUUUUAAAUUAUUUAUCUCUAUUAAUAUUUUUACAGUGAAUUAUUUUCACCCCUCAAGAUCGAAUACCACUUUCACAACAGAGAGUAUGUUACACUCGCCUAAACAUCAACGCCACAUUAGAGACACGUCAUUGCCACAUAAGAAGUUUAAUUUUUCUAAAAAAAAGUAAAUUCCCCGCACUUUAUUUUUAUAUAUAUUUUUUUAAAAAAAUAAAAAAUAUAUAUUCACUAUANNNNNNNNNNNNNNNNNNNNNNNNNNNNNNNNNNNNNNNNNNNNNNNAUAUAUAUUAGAUAAAAAAAUCACCCCCACCUCCCAUUUUUUUUUUCUUCACACCUCCCAUCCACCCCGCCCCCUUCCCUACAACGCAGCCCCUUCCCCCUUUCUAUCUUCUUCAAAUCAGCCCACCUCUCCCUCACCUUUAUUUUCUAUCUUCUUCAAACUUAAAGCAUAUUACCAAAUCAAGAAACAACCAAUUCAAGAAACAACAAUUCAAGAAACACCAAUUAUUCCUUCAUCAAACCACCAAUUCAAGAAACUCAAAUUUCUGGCACAACUUUACAACAUCAUCAGAAAACUCCAAUAAUCAAUUAAGACAUCAAUCAUGAAUUCAAUGAACUCAUUUUUUUUUUGUUUUCAAGUUUUUUCGAGCUUUAACAAUGGUGGAUACAAAAUUAAACUAGCAAAAUUCAUACCAAUCAAACUCAUAAUUCAAGUGCAACUUCACACCAUCAUCAGAAAACCCCAAUAAUCAAUUUGAAUACCACCCACAAAUUUGACAAACUCAUUUUUUUGGUCUUCAAGCUUUUUCAAGGUUCAAUAAUGAUGGAUACAAAGGGCAAUCUCAUAAAUCCAACAAUAGUUUUCUUGAAAAAUCACUUAAGUAAUUUAGUUCAACAAUCAUGUAUUGAAAGAAUCUUUUUUUACAAAAAUAUUUUCUAAACCCAUUAAAAUUCAUAACUUUUCACACAUAUUUUUUUUUUUCUUUCUUGAAGAAAUUAAUGAAGAUAAUAGAAGUGAAGAUGGAGAGUUAGAAGAAGGAGAAAAGAAAUUGGGGUGGGCUUUAAGAAGAAAUACAAGAAAACGGGAGUGGGGGGUGAGGGCGGCCUGGGGGAUAUGAAGAAGAUGAAGAUAGGGUGGGGUGAGAGGUAAGGGGUGGGUUUAUAUAUAUAUGUUAAAAAAAGUAGGACCAUAUCAGUUUUAAAAUUAAAAAAGGUUCUUUUAAAAAAGUGGGAUCAUAUCAGUUUUAAAAUUAAAAAAUGUUCUUUUUUUUUCUUUUCUUUUUUUAAAAAUCCACGUCAGCUUGAGGGGUGAAAAUAAUUCACUUUAAAGAUGUUAAGAGGGUUAAAUAAAUGAAAGUUAAGUUUAAGUGUUGAAGUGAGUUUAAAUGACAAGUUUAUCGGGGAAAAAUAUGUCUUUUCUCAUUUAUAUUUGGAAAAAAAUGAAUUUUUGUCCGUGAACUUUUUGACUUUUUUCGUAUUAGCAUCUCAAUUAGUUCAUGUACAUACUGACUCCCUUAUUCAUUCACAAAUGAUUUCAAUUAAGUACAACUCUCUUAUUGGAAAGUGUAUUGCACAUGCCAUGACAUGUCAGUAUUUGUGCUUAAUUGAUAACUAUUUAUGAAUGAAUAAAGAGUUCAAUAGGUACAUGAGCUAAUUGAGGUGUCAAUAUGAAAAAGUCAAAAAGUUAAGGAGCCUGUCUAUGUAUUUUGUCUUUAUAUUUUUUAGUUUCAAUUUAUUUAUUUAUCUAAUUUUAAUUUGAUAUAAAAUUUAAAAAAAUAAAAAGAAAAUUUUAAUUUUAUAAUGUUAAACUAGAAAUAUGAAUAAUGUAUUAAAAUGUAUUUUGACCUUGUGAUCUUAAAAAUAUCAUAUAAAAAUUAGAAAAAAUUUAAAAGUUGUUAAAAAAAAAAGAGACAAGUUUUUAAAACAAAUUAUUAAGGAAAUUACUACAAAUUGAAACUGAGAGAAAUUAAACUCUCAAUUAUAUUCAGUUCCCUUUCACAAAUUGUAGACUAUUCGACUCUUCUUCCCAAUAUAAAACCCACCCAAAUUAUUCCUCGAUUCUCAUCAAUACUCAAAAUGGGACUCUCCAAUUCCGUAAUUGUUUGUUUUCUAAUUACCUUUGCUAUAUUUCACUCGUCACAAGCUCAAGAUUCUCCCCAAGAUUAUCUUAACGCUCACAAUGUAGCUCCUAGACAAGUUGGUGCCGGCCCUAUGACAUGGGACAAUAAGUAGAGGCCUUUGCCCAAAGUUAUGCCAAUCAGAGAAUUGGGGACUGCCGGAUGCAGCACUCCAGUGGCCCUUACGGCGAAAACCUAGCUGCUGGCUACCCUCAGCUCUAUGCUGCUGGAGUCGUGAAAAUGUGGGUCAAUGAGAAUUAAUUGUACAAUUAUAAUACAAAUACUUGUGCACCAGGAAAAGUAUGUGAACACUAUACUCAGGUUGUCUGGCAAAACUCGGUACGUCUUGGUUGUGCUAGGGUACGUUGCAAUGACGGGUGGUAUUUUAUAAUUUGCAAUUAUGAUCCACCAGGUAACUGGUGAGGUAACGUCCCUAUGGUGAUCUUGAAGAACAACAACUGGCCUUCGAUUCCAAGUUGGAACUUCCCAGUGAUGUCUAAGAGUAAAUAAAAUCAUGAAUAAUGCUUAAUUCACGUGUUAAUGAAAAUAAAACCCAGUACUAUUUGCUAUAUCUGUUGGAUGUUAUCUUACUAGCUCAGUUGGAUAAUUAUCCAAUGGUGCAGAUCUGGUGACUUGUUAAUCAAGGGGAAAUAUUUUGUCUACAUUGAUAUUCAUAUGGACCCUUGCAUGUUGUUUAAUUUAAUCUAAUCACUUUUUAUAUGAGUAUUUUGACUCCUUUAUUUGAUUCAUGUUCAUGUUUUACAACUGUUGGCACUAUGGGGUGCGGGUUGUCUUUUCUAGUUUAAAUCUAUAUACGGACAAUAUACUAUUUUUUUACACACUAUUAAUUAAGUCAUCAAGAAAUAAUUCAUAACAACAAAUAAAUUAUUAUAAGGGAUAAUUAUGUAAUUUCGCCAAUAUUAACUCCUAAUUAUCUUAUUUAGCCUAAUUUUAAUUAAUUAUAAUUAAUAGUCUCUUCUUG
RNAcentral lists this long non-coding RNA (86341 nucleotides) under Capsicum annuum. Its description in RNAcentral is "long non-coding RNA (CANN_LNC013203)". The record is from RNAcentral. Lineage: Eukaryota; Viridiplantae; Streptophyta; Magnoliopsida; Solanales; Solanaceae.